Molecule: long non-coding RNA, 53666 nt
Filed under: Carica papaya (papaya)
Lineage: Eukaryota; Viridiplantae; Streptophyta; Magnoliopsida; Brassicales; Caricaceae
Description: long non-coding RNA (CPAP_LNC012597)
Rfam family: tRNA (bases 11286-11357)
Source: RNAcentral
AGUCUUAGCAUGAGCUUCUACUUGAUCCACAACCUAGCGGGUUUGCAAGGAAGAAGUGUGUCAAUGUAUGAAUAAUUUUUUGAAAUAGUGUUAAUGUAUGAAUAAAGUACUGGAAAUUUGGCAUAACUCUAUUAUUUAACCAUCAAACUUGUCAGAAACUUGACAAUCUCUUUCCUGUUGCUUCUUAUGAGAAUAUAACAUGUUCUUUUUACUGGUAUUGGUCAUAUACGUACUAAAAGGAACUUCUUAUCCUAAUCGAAAAAAUUAAAAAGUGACACCAGGUUUUAUACAGGAUUAGGAAAGCAACAACCACAUCAGUAGUGAAGGUAUUGGACGAAAUAAUAAAAGAUACCCAACCCACAAUAAAAGCUUACUUGAUGCAUAAAAUUUUCACCUGUCUAUUUCUCACUUGAUGAGGACAUCCUGCAGGAAUGAAUACAGCCUCCCCAAGGCGUUGUUCAAAUGUCCAAGGUUCAACAUCUGAAAACAUUAAAGCAUCUUAAGUUAUACAUUAAUAUAAACAAUUUUUCUCUGAUGGAAAUGCUUACUGAAGGUAACUAAUUCCUUACCAAACUCCUCCUUCAGCUGCUUCUUAUGUCUCUCGUUUAGAUAAAGGGUCUGAUCGUGAAUAGGAUGAUAAACCUAAAGCAAGCACAAAACUAGACUUAAAAUGAUUAAACUCUAAAUCAAAUUAGCAGAUUCAUUUCCCAGGUAAAGAUACGCACAACAUUCACCGGAAGAUUACUAUUAUGAUGGAACUCGCUUUGGUGCUUCAAUAAAAACUCAAUCAGCUUGGGUACAUCCUGCCUACGAAAAAUAUCCCAAACAGCACCACCAUAUGCCACAUCUGAAUUCUCCCUCCCCUGAAUAAAUUCCUUACCUUCAUUCGUAUCUAGCUUGACUGGCCCUAAAUCACUUACUCCAUAUACAUCUUUGCGUCUGCGACAGCGAAGUUUCAUCCGAACAGGAUGGUUGGUGUGCGCAGCAAUAUGAUUAUCGAAAUUAUUCAUCCCUCCAUCUAGACCUUCAAUGGAUUUCUCAGCCAUAUUAAUGCUCAAACUUUUUAAGGAGGUACAUGGCAGACCACAAGUAAUCCCGUAUGACUCUGUAACAUCCAAUUCCUUGGAUUUAAUUUGUUGUCCAUCCAAUUUCUCUUCCUCUAGCUGUACCUCAGUGAGCUUGGACACAUCAUGCUUACAAAAAGUAUCCCAAACAGCACCACCAGAUGCGACAUCUGAAUUGUCUUUCUCUAGAAUAGAUUCCAUCUUUUCAUUUGCAUCUAGCUUGACUGACCCUAUAUUACUAACUCCAUACUUAUCUUUCUGUUCGUUACUACGAAGUUCCAUUUUAGCAUGAUGCUUAAUGGCAGUAGUAAUGUGACUACCAAAACUCUCCAUAUCUCUAUCUACUUCUCCAAUAUAUUGUUGGUCAUUAUUAAUGGUCGAACUUUCUAAGGAAGAAGAACAUGGCAGACCACAGGUAAUCUCAUACGACUUCGGAAUUCCCAAUUCCUUGGAUUUAGUUGGUUGUUCAUCCAAUUUCUUUUCCUCUCUCUGUUUAUUUGAUUUUCCAGAGUAUUUGAAGUCCCUUCGUUUAACUUUAUAAGCUCUUUUUCCUCGCUUCCUUCUGACUCUACCCAAUGCCCUUCUUUUCCCAACAGAAUGCUCACCCAAAUCUCCAGCUUCAUACUUUUUCUUUAAUCUGUUUAUAAUUCUACGUUGCCAUCGAGGAAUCUUCACUUGGGUCAUAUGAGUCAGGACAUUGACCUAAAAAGAAAAAGAAGAAAUAGAAAAAAGAAAUUGAGAGAAAGAAUUUAAGAAGUUAGGAAAAUACAUCUCUAUAUCACAUAAUAUAAGGAAGAAAGAUUUUGAAAGAUAUAAUGACAACAAGAGAAAUUUAGAAAAUAUAUUUUGUGUUCAGAAGAUACAUAAUUGAAACAUCAGGCAAUCAGAAAUGGACAAAUGUUAGGUCAAAAGAUGGGUAUAUGCCAGUGAUUUCAAUGAUAAUCUUGAAUAAGAGCCAAUAAAAAUCAGCUCUAUGUACUUCAUGUGGUAACCUAUUGUGCUCUUUAAUCCUUUACAUUCAAAAGCUGGCAUAAGAAUCUGGGAACAAAGUAGGACCUACUCUCUGAAAUGAAAACUAAAAUGCAAAGGAAUAAUUAACAACUGAUGCGGAUUUUUUUGUGGGAAGAAAUAUGGGUCAGCUAUGGCAAUUGAUCAUGGAUCUAAUAGAAGCUACUUUGACACAAAAUUGUGUUUCGUUCUCUCAUUAAUAUAAAGCAAUAUGUUCAAUCUUAAUCAUAAAAAGAGACAAAUCGUAAAGGAGAAACUUUUAAUUUCUUAGGAAGUAGGAGAAGCUGCCCAAAACAGAAACCACAACAAUCCAACUUCAAAUUAAACUUUAGAACACCUGCCCUGUAGUUCGUCAUCUGUGGUGUUGGUUUACAAAAGGCUGGGUAUUAGCUGGGUUUGUUUGGGGUCUAUUAAAGAAGAGAUUUGGGCUUGGAAGCAUCUCAGCAACUAUUGUAUCCUUGCUGACUUGAUUUCCAUUCCAAUUAUGUGGACUGAGUGGAAAGUUAGGAACAGUAGGGCCUUUGAGGGUCUCGAUGAAACUAAUGAUUUUGAUGUACUGAAGAAUAGAUGGCCUAGUACCCUUAAUUUUUUGCUUACGGGCCAUCCUCCGGUUUAUUUUGAGACUUAUAGGAAGAUUACUGGAAUGGAGGACUAAGCUGUAAAUAAUUGUACAUGUUCUUUUGCACCCCUGGUGCUCAUACUAAUACUACUAUUCUACUUUUCAUUUUAAAAAAAACUUUAGAACACCUCAACCUUAUCCAUCACGUGAUCUGCAUUUAAUUGUUCUAGUGGCUAUAAACAAAUGGUUCUUACUUAAUUUGCGGAAUAAUUCAACAAAAUGUUUCCUUUAACAUGUUCUGCAACAUAAGCUGGAAAUCAAAAAAAAAUCAAGAAGUAUGCUAUGCUCCCAAUUAAUAUAUGGGGUCCUUGGGAUUUACUCCCAAUUAAAUAUACUUGACACUUCUGGGCCUAAAGUUUCCAAUUCCCUAUGCCGUGUCCUUGAGUCUCACUGCCAUUUAAUAAUCAUAAAUUCUACAUAAGCAUCUGCAACACAUGUGCUUCAUGAUACAUAAAUUUGGCUUCCAGUAACUCCCUUUGGAAGGUUAAAGUUCCUUAAAGACGAUAGGCUUCAUUUGGGUUGCAGUACUAGACAGAACUAAAUCACAUGAUUCUUUAUAGAUGCAAGAAGGAAGUCAAACCACCUCACCAGAUAUUUCUGCAACCUGUUGGUGGAGUUCCAUAAGAAAUAUAACUUGUUCUUCCAUUGUGAGAGCAUGGUGGUUACGGUGUUACGUAGUAACUUUCACUUCUACAUACAGGUUUGUCCUUCAAAUUUGGAGGUUUUCCUUUCCAUUUAUAUGAGGUGCGGGAUGAGAAAAGGAGCUUAAGAUUUUGCAGCAUGCUACUUCCCUUAUUAUUCAGCUCUAAGGUUGGAGCAUAAUGAUAAGAUGCUCAGUCAAUCCAUUUAACCUCCUUACUUUAUUUGGGUUUAUGGUGCUCGUAUACUCCUUGUGGCUAAAGCACAUGGAUGAGCCAUAAAUGGCGGGAAAACAAUGUCAAGUUAAUUAAAUUAGGGCUUUUGAAUGAGGAAUAAAGAAUCUUUUUCUGCAGUUUCCGUCUGUGAUUAGCAGAGCCAUUGUGUACAACAUGAAAAAGUUGUUAUGCAAGGCCUGGUAGUACAAUGAUUGUACCAGCCAGCUAGCACCAGCUACUAUAUAAUCCUGAACCCUGUACCAGGAUACCUACUGAAAUGUAAGUAUUAUUCAGUCAUCUUUCUCUCCAAAUUCUCUGCUCUUUCCUAGUUCCCUUCUAUUCUCUUCUUCCUCUUAACCCUCACUUUCUACCUACUGUUUUCCUUCCCCAAAAAGCCACUGUUAUGAGGUCAGCUGAGUUACACAUGAGCCAGUGCCCUGGCAGGAUGCUUUAAGAAUAUGCCUAUUUCUAGUUUGCAAAGGAAUUGAGAAGCCCUUCCAGAGUGAUACUUCUUCUAGUUUCCUUUGGAUCUGUACCCAGUUUCUUUUCUCCUCAGGAGGAUACAUCAUCCUCAAGCUUUGUAUUCUAUUUCUCUUCUUAUUAAGAAAAAUAUGAUAGCAGUAAAAUUAAAUGCACUUAGAAACAUGUUUUACAUGCGGUGGAUAAAUGCAACCUACUAAGAGCAAAAGGAGUGACCUAAACCUUGCAGAGACCGACGAAAGAAAAUAAUGCCUUGUUUCUUUCUAAUAAGAAAAACUUAAAAUCUAAAAUCAAGCACUUAUAUCAACACUCCAUACCGCAUCAGAAAUAUCACAGUGCAGUUUUGUUACUGAAUCACCUCUACCAAGCUCUUCUGUAGAUCCAUAUGCGAUGUACGUUUUAGGACCCAAAUCUGGCUUCAGAACUUCAGGAAGCUUAGUUGCAAGAUUCAGAAGGCCAGAUUUUGGAUGUGUAUAAUCCUUAUAAGGAAGCAUUGCAACAAAUUCAGCACAAUGUCUUGGCAAGCACUCUCCAAAUGAAUUAGAUGGAGGCCAAUCCUUCAGCUUCAACAUCUCAGGCCAACCAUUUUUGUACCAACGUCCCUCUAUGUAACCCUUGAAGAAUCGAAAAAUAUUGAUUUCCACCUGCAGCACGAACAGGUUAAGCAUGCUUGAUUCACAGUUUAGUAUUAUGAGAUAUGAAAAAUAUAAUCCAACUUCCUGCCAGUCUCUAAUAACUGUAUUCUUCUUGUAGUCUACUGAUCAAUUUGACAUCCUCUGAAGUAAGAACUAGAGGACACAGAGAUGUUGUUUUAAUCAGCACAUCCAGGAAUAUAGACUAGAGAGUUAGAUCUUAAACUUCCAAAUUACCAGUUUUGAACAUAAAAAUGUAGAAAGCAUAUCGAGAGCUCAAGAAACUAGUUGUGCACCAUAACAAAGGGCAAGAUUUCAAUUGUUUUAGGAUGAAAUUCAGAUUAAGACACAAAAGAGCACAUACCUCACACCAAUCCCAGCAAUCUAUGGCCUUAAACUUCUGUGCUUCUUCUUUCAUUACCUUUCUUGCACCUCUGAAAGCCCUCCACAUGACCAUUGGGUCCCAACUAAGACCAGAAGCAUUUUCGAGUACAUUUCUAACUAUGACAGGUUCCCCUCUCAUCCAAUGCAUUUGAAAAUGUUGGAUAUCCUUGCCUUCCAAUUGAGUAGCAUCCGGACAGUAUAGAAAGUUAUCAUGACAGUUCUCUCUAUAAGCUGCCCGUCUUGCACCAAAAUCCUUUAUUUCACUUCCUGCAGAACUGAUAGAAUCGCACAAAGGGCAUCUUUCAGAAAAAUCCAGCUUUGGUGAGUGAUAAUUGAUAGUAAGUUCCUCUGCACUCUUAAUCAGUCCAUCAACCCAAUAAGCAUGAAAGAUGCGUCUCAAUGCGAGCUUCUCACUGCCGCAACCUCCCCAUUCUUUUGGAGGACAAAGAAUGCUACCAUCAGAAUCUGAACACCAAUCUGAAAAAGUACAUAACAAGUCACCUGCAUCAUUUUCUAGAAGAACAAGUUGCCUCUCCCAAUCACAGCUUCCAUAGACAGUUGGCAGGGAUCAGCUUAUGUACAUCCAUACCUUGACUAUGUGCACUUUCAGCACGUUGUUGGUGAGAAGAUUCUGCCUCAUCACGUCCAGGAUUAAGUCCUUUUCUUAUCUCCCAACAGCAAGUGAGACAGAGAUCAUAAGAACAAUUAGGAUUUGUGCAGCUUCUAUGGAAAUUGACAAUGGAUGUUUUGCAAUUGUCGCUGUCAAAUGAGGAUAUUUUCAGUCAAUUUUCUUACCAAUGACAAAUAACCCAACAUCAAGGAGCUCAAAAUGAUACCAAUACACUCUAUCAUCAUCAUCUAGCACAGAUACGAGUAUAUCCUCUUCUCUCAUCUGGACACCUAUGAAAAAAGAAGAAAAACAGAAAUCUGAAGUCAAAACCAUUUGGCAAAGAAAGAAACUAAAACUUCUGACCAAAAAAUUUAAGUUUUACAAUACCACGUAUGUUUUCUUCAACUGCUAAUUCAGAGUUCUGCUCCUGCUGAAUGUGCCGAAGGAUAGGCAGCGUUUUGUGUAAGAGAUGAAUCAGCUUUCGUAACUGGACGUUUGUAUCAACCUCUUCGUCCCCAGCCUGUCAUAGCAUUGGGAUGAACAAGGCAUGCUUACAAAGUUUUCACAAAAAAUGAGUAAAGAGAAAGAGAAUGCAAACCAGCACAACCACAUCUUCCUUCAGGCAUACUCUGCAAUUGCAAUUGCCCCGACAAAACGGGCAAGCAACCUCUAUUUCCUCUCUUGUUUUCUCAGGGUACCUAAUUCAUUUUCCUUCAAGAAACAAUUAGGACCAGUAGAUGAAACCCAAAUCAAAUUUAGCAAAAUGGAAACGGAAAAGGGAUAUUAACAAAAACAUUAAUUAGAAGUUCCUUUACUAACUAGAUCAAACUCAACUUCCAUUUUCUAAGUUCUGUGAAUUGAAUGGGAUGCUACAAUAAUAAGAAACUGGUAGUGUAUCAAUGAUCAAAUAAAUGCAUUGAAUUAAUGGGGUUUCAGUAUUUUAUCUGAGCUUUUGACGAUAUAUUAUUACCAUUUGGCAAGGCACUUGUAGCAAUAGCGUUUCUUUUGGCAACUGGAGCAAAUCACAACACCACUUUGAUCAGUCCUCAAACACUGGUGGCACAUCAAACCGCUUUGCUUCUUUUCCCAGCUGCUAAAAUCCUAAUAAGAAACCCACUCAAGCACUAUAAUAUACUAUCAUAAUCAAUAGACAUUCACAAUUAGCAGUUCAAAGUACAUGCAUCUAUUACUUCUUUUCUUCCCUUUAGAAGAACGGCUGAGGUUGUAAGGAAGAUUUAACCAGAAUAAAGAGAAUGCAAUAAUGUUCUUUUAUAGUUCAGCUGUCAAUAAUUUAAGUUUAACAAGCUUGUCAAAAAAACAAGAGUGAGGAUUUUGCACAAACUCACAGAAAAUCCUGAAUUUUCUGAUUCCUUGAUGGACUUCUUUGGCCUUCCCCUACCUCUCUUCUGAUGAUUACCAAAAUCAGCAGCAGUCUUGUCUUCCAUAUUGCCCCUAAGACCCCCAUUUUGUCCCAAAUGUUCUCCUCCUUUCUGUUCUAUCUUAGUGUGGUGGAUAGGAAUUGCAUUCUUCUGUACCAAAAUCUUCUCUAAAGCCUGACCAAUAAGAACUGUCCGCUGGUUCCUUGAAAAUCUUGGUUGGCCCUGCUCAUGCUUCUGCCUGCUUUGCUGCUCAUCAUUGCCCAAUACUUCCCUAUUUUUUUGGCUUUCCCCUUCUCGUCUAUCCCCAGUUAACAACUUAUCACAUGAAUGUGAGAUGUCUUGUUUAUCCUUUGACCAGAAAUUUCCAGUUCCACCUUCAUUAUCACCUCCAGUUGGCUGAUCAUUCUCCCUUCUACCAUCAUUGGCACCAGGAGAUCCUGUAGGUGUUUCAUUAUCUUCCUUACUUCCAAGAUAAUUCCUCUCAUUCUCUAAAUCCCCAAGCCUAAGAAUCUUAUCACCACAAUGACUGCCAGGAAGCCACCAAUUUGCAUCACCAAUCCUAUUUUCACUAACACCAUGUAUUUUCCUUAUGUUUUUCGAGCCCUUUGGCCUACCAGGCCUCCUCUUUGGCAACUUGUAGUCAUUUCCCUCCCCACUAACACAGGAUGUCUCCCUUGGCACUCCCUUAUUUUCAUCACCUACAUGNNNNNNNNNNNNNNNNNNNNNNNNNNNNNNNNNNNNNNNNNNNNNNNNNNNNNNNNNNNNNNNNNNNNNNNNNNNNNNNNNNNNNNNNNNNNNNNNNNNNNNNNNNNNNNNNNNNNNNNNNNNNNNNNNNNNNNNNNNNNNNNNNNNNNNNNNNNNNNNNNNNNNNNNNNNNNNNNNNNNNNNNNNNNNNNNNNNNNNNNNNNNNNNNNNNNNNNNNNNNNNNNNNNNNNNNNNNNNNNNNNNNNNNNNNNNNNNNNNNNNNNNNNNNNNNNNNNNNNNNNNNNNNNNNNNNNNNNNNNNNNNNNNNNNNNNNNNNNNNNNNNNNNNNNNNNNNNNNNNNNNNNNNNNNNNNNNNNNNNNNNNNNNNNNNNNNNNNNNNNNNNNNNNNNNNNNNNNNNNNNNNNNNNNNNNNNNNNNNNNNNNNNNNNNNNNNNNNNNNNNNNNNNNNNNNNNNNNNNNNNNNNNNNNNNNNNNNNNNNNNNNNNNNNNNNNNNNNNNNNNNNNNNNNNNNNNNNNNNNNNNNNNNNNNNNNNNNNNNNNNNNNNNNNNNNNNNNNNNNNNNNNNNNNNNNNNNNNNNNNNNNNNNNNNNNNNNNNNNCUCAACCAGCACCUUGGAAUUCACUAACAUUGUUAAUUUAUUCACCAUAAAGAUUAUUUCUCUUAUUUUUAGAACCCUUUGGCCGACCUCGCUUCCCCUGAGUUAUCACAAUCAUACUUCCUUCUCCAGUACCUUCAGUCACUCCAGGCAGUCCAUUGUCAUCCUGCCCUAAAAUUAUAGUCCCUUCAUUACCUAAACCUUCUGACAUAAAAGUUUUAUUCCAAGUACCAUCAAUACAUGCAAAUUUCCCAUUCUCAUUCUUUGAAGAUUUUGAUAAGCAUUCCUCACCCUCCUCGUAGAUAUGAACAUUGAACAGAUUUUCUACACCAGUCACCAGCAAAGGGUCAGCCUUUUCAUCCUCAACGCCCGCAUACACACUCACCAUUCCCUGAUUCUCUUCAGCAGCAUGACUUUUCUUUUUAUUCUUGGAUCCCUUUGGCCGACCUCGCUUUCGCUUUGCCAAUGGAGUCUCAUUUCCUGUUCCUCCACCACUUCCAGAGACCUGACCAAGCAUUUCCUUAACUUCUUCUCCACUCAGAAAAACAUCUCCCCCGUUCUGCAAACCCAAGGGGACAACACCAUGAUCCAAAUUGUGACCGGGAUUAACUAUUUUAGUGGGCGUUUCUGGAUAUACACCUGCAAGAUUUCUGUUCUUCUUGCAGUUUGAAUCGGUUGGCCGGCCUCGUUUAGUGUUUUUUGAUCCCUUUGGCCUACCAGGCUUACAUUUGACAUCUACAUUCUCACCACAAUCUCCGUUUUCAAUACAUCCCCCUUGAUUUCCUUCACUAGCAAAAGUUUCAGCACCGUCUCCUCCAGCAAUUUCACCAAACAAGCUCUUGAUUCCUUUACUAUCAAGACUAGCACAGUCAGCUUCACCGCACCAACACUGAAUUCCUUCACCAAUAUUCACAUCAUUAAACUCACCAAACAAGCCUUGGACUGGAACUGGCACCCCUUUACUCUCAUUUGCACCGCUAACUUCACCAAAUAAGCUUUCAAUCAGCUCUUCAUCACCAAUCAUACCGCCAUUUCCACAUGCAACCUCACAAGACCCGCCAACUUGAAGAAUCCCUUGACGCGCAAGAACACCUGCACUGCCUUCUUCAACAAACCAUGGUUCUGAACCUUUGCCUUCAAGAACCCCAACACGACUCGCACCAUUAUCUUCGCUAUACCCACAUUGAGCCCAGCAAGGAGCUUCACUAGACCCACCGACUUCAACCCGACGCCCACGAUCUUCACCGCCAUUAUGCCCCAAGCUGCAAAUUCUGACCCCCAUCUACACUACUCCCGUCGCCGAACCAAUUUGUAUCGUCAAGCCAGCCUUGAAUUCCUCCACGAUCUCCAAAACCCAACACCCCAUUUGCAGCAACGCCAUCGUCUCGACCGCAGUCCUUCCCGGCCACCGUUGCCGCCGAAAUCCCUCCACAACCCGGUUGCGUUCUCUUCCUUUUCUGCCGACCCACUUCAUCCCCGUCCCUCUCUUCUCCUCCUCCCGCUUUCUUCUCCAUUUGCUCUCCGCUCCUUUGUAGGAUUUGCAGUCUCUCUCUCACAGUUAACUUUUUUUCCGCUCAAACCCUCUGGCAGUACUCCACCCGCAACCUGCCGAACCCGUCCACUCGUACUUUUUGUUACUGAGUAGCACGUGAGAGUGGUCCACUAUCGUCCCCUCCAUUACCUCGAGAGAUUAGAUACACAAAGAAUGGACCCAGUAACCCAACUUUUUUCUCUUUUGAACAGGACUCCUAAUAGAAGAGUAAAUGAGAAUUAUCAAGGGUUCGAGCUAAAACCCUUAAUGAACCCAAAAAAAUAAAAAAAAGCAAAGAACUUUUCGAAGUUCAUAAUCAUGAUGACUCAUAACAACGCAGUUAAUGCUCUGCUGUCGCAGUUUUCAAGACGGGUUUUUUUUCUUUGGAAGAGAGAAAAGGGGACACAGUAUUGUGGCAUGAUAAAGUUGGAAGGCAUUUAUGUCCUGUGAUGCGGGUGGGGCAGUGAUUUAGGCAAGGAGGGGGGGGUUAGGACAGCAGAGUUGGGAUCCAAGUGAUUUUUUGAUUUGGUUUUGUUUAACAAAAUUUUAGGUGCGAUUAUUGAAAAAACACUUGCCUCGUUUAUGCCAACCGGAAGACUCAUCAAACCCAAACAAAAUUUUAGGACCAAAAUGCCCUAAAGAUGUUCUUGGUGUGGGCUACGUGUAGGAAGUCCAAUAUGGUAAUCUAACUUCAAAUAAAACUAUAUAAUCUUUGUAGUUAAAAUUUUAGUAUUUUCAAAAUAUAAUCAAUUUUGUAACAAGUAAACAAUACAAUCAAUUACACAAAUUAAACAAAAUUGCAUUUUGAUAAGGAAAAUUGAAAACUAUAUAAUAUAAUUGAUAUGAUUUGAUCUCGAUACUAUAAAUUUUUUAUUUAUUCUCAUUCGAUCAUAAUAAAAAAAAAAGUUAAUACAAAAACUCGAAAUCGUUAAAUUUUAAAAUAAUCAAAGUUUGAACUGAUAAUUUCUAUUGUAGUAAAGUAAUAUUUUACUGUUAAGUUAUACAUGUUUUUAUUUUAAAAAAAACCCAAUGUUACUAUUAUUAAAUAACUCGAACUCAAAUUUGGUAAAAUGAUGAAUCAUUAUUGAAAAAAAAAAAUUUACUUAUUCUCGUUCAAUUAGUUAGAUCGUAGGUAUGAUAGAUUUAGUUAAUGGACGAAGAAUCUUGUUUAAAUUUAGGAUGGUCCGACUAAGCUAAGAAAAAUAACAAGAAGAAGCAUAGGACUCUUUCAUCCAUGCUCCAAUUAGGUGGAGGGAAUCUUCCAUUGCUUUUGUGAAGAGAAAGAAAUGAAGUGCAGAGCGGAUAGACUUCUCUUGGGUUGAAAAGUCAGAAAUACUGUUACAAAGUUAUCCAUGACUGUCUUUCUAGUACAAUAAACACUGAAAGAGUUUAUGGAAGAGAACCUUGCGCCAAUACACAAGAAUGGUUCCAUGGUCUAGUGGUCAGGACAUUGGACUCUGAAUCCAGUAACCCGAGUUCAAAUCUCGGUGGAACCUACAUUUUUAAAAACUGUUUUCUGGGAAAAAACCAUUUUGUCUUCUUUCAUCUUUUUUGUUUCAUCCAAGGCUAUAUUGACCUUCAAAAAGAUCAUUCAAAUUAUAUACACAGACAACAGUGAGUUAAAUAUGAAUGUAUUGGUUAAAUUAUAAUUCAUGUAGGGUUGAAAGACCAUGAAUUGAGAUAAAGAGGCACCAACUAUUUUUGGAUCUUAACAUGAGCAGUUUGAUCAAACAAAAAAUCCAUAUUAUUAAGUCAAACAAAUGCCAACAAUCAAACAUUUCAUUUGCUUUCUUUCAAUUUCUCCUCUUCCUUCAUUUUCUUCUCCCACCUGCGCUUCUUGUAAGCCAGCAACAUGUCGGGCAUCUUCUCCAUCAAUUUCGCUGUAUUUUCGCGCUUUUCAGCAGCUAUUCUAUCGCACUUGUGCCCUUUCCUCUUGGUUCUCAUCUCUUUUCUCUCUGGGUCAUAUGGCCAAUCUUCCCCAGCAAGGAGGACUUCCUUUCGCAGUCUAGCUCGGUGGCGAGCACUUAUGCCUAGAGGUUUCCAUGCACCCAACUCCCAGUAUCCCCAGACACCCUUGGACAGCUCGUUUUUGUAUUUACCCAACUUAUCGCGCCAUGGAUACUGAUACUCCCCGAUGGCCUUCGCCACAGAUUGUACUGCUUUGCCAGCCAUUACCUUUUAGAGAUUCCAAAAAAAGAUCACAUAGAGAGGAAUGCGUAAGCCACAUACACAAGAAAGUAUAUAUUACAGUAAAAGUUAGUUGCAUUUACAAAAGUCUAUUAGAUUUCAAUUCUAUUUAUUGAGAUCAACUAUUUGACAUAUAAAAUUUAGUAAUGAUUUACACAUUUAACGAAUAACUGACCCAAGUCCACUCAUAUCUUUAAUUUCAUAAUGAUAGAUUUGUAUUACUACUUGAUUAUAAAAAAUUCACCAAAAAAAACAACUUGAAUUGGACAGAAUUAACUUGAAAUUAGAAUUUUUAAAAAUUUCAAUUUAAAUGUUCAUAUGAUUUGCACUAUAUUCUCAUUUCUAAUUAUCAAAUUGAAACUCAAACCAAACUCAAUCUAAAUUUCAAGAGGAAGUUCAGAAUAACAAAGGCUCCACAAUAUAACCAAAAAAAAAAAAAAAAAAUGGAUGUGUACCCCAAGGAAAACUUGGCAAACUUAAAAAGUAAAAGAGAAUCAAACACAGGAGGCAUGCUGAUGAUCAAGCACUAAUCAACAGCCAAUAUAAUCUUUAGAAACACAGGAAAGGAAAACAAAGGAACUAAUAAAUGCAUAAUAUGUGGAGAAUGCAAACUUAGAGAUAGGUGGUUUAAAUAUUUUGGGUAUUUCAUAUUGGGGCAUGACAUCAUUAGAGAUGAAGAUUUUGAAGAUGUCAUUGAUACCCCUUACUUCACUGUAAAUUCUUGUGCAUCCGGGCGGUACCCCACUUUGGUGCCAUUCUAAUAUGUUAUUAACUUUUUCUUUAAAAGAAGAAAUAAUAUGUGGGUCGGUCUAUGCAAAUUGAUUACAUAGACUAUACUGAUAGCUACGUUUUCGAAAACCAAGUUUUCCUUCUCCUAAUCAAAAGGAAAUUUCAGUGCAAGAAUUGAGUUCUGCAAUGAUCUUCUCCUUAUAAAGACAAAAGACAAGCUAUAUAGAAGGUCCUCAAGUAAUCAAAAAUGAUUUUUUCUCAUUAACUGCAAGAAAUAAAAAGGAAGACAAGCAAGAAAAUUCUUCUGCCAGACAAGACACCAAUGAAAUCUUGUAGCUUCUAGCAACAAGUUAACCCUUAUACCAAGUCAAAGACCAUACAGGCUUAUCCUUAGGUCAGGAAGAAUAAUAGAACACAUAUCUAAUCAUCUAAGAGAAGCAAAUGUUCCAUCCCGGUGGGUACUGGGUAGGCCACACUAUAAGCUCAACAGUAAGUAAAAAUCAUUAGUAGCUAAGAUGAUGCCUCGAGCAGCUCAUACAGAGACUAAAAGAGAGAAACAGAUGAAGGCAGCUUAUUACAUAAAAAGUGAACCUCAUUAAAUAUCCAAAUCUUUGGAUUUAAACCCACCUAGGGAGUUUUUCUUCCCUCUACCCAAAAUCCACCUGGAACAAAGUGGGCUUUUGGGUUGUCUUCCUUAUAUCAAUCCUUCAAACAAAAACCAUAUCUCAGAGAAGUAUUCAAUUGAGACUGAUGGAAUUCUUGACAAAUUAUUCACGGAAUUCUCUAAUAUUCAAGCCCAGUCUCAGUAAUUAGUGUUUGCUCAUGAUACAGGUGAAACCUGUACCCUCAGCACAAAGCCCACACAAUAAAUUCUACAAAGGGAAACGAGAAAUGGAGAAGGAAGAAAAGAGAGAGUUUUUUUUUUUAGAAAAGAAGAAAAAAGACAAAGAAUACAGUUUAUUAAACAAAGACGUGGGAACUUAAUCCAAAGUUAUGAACUUCAUUGCUAUUCCCCCAAUUCGCACAACCUGCCAUUUCUUUUUCCUUAACAAUUCUGGAACUACUACUCCUAAUUCCCAUUAACUGUUUUCGAAUAACCGCGCGCCUAACUUUCGAUUGGUCUAAUUAACCAUUUCCUUUAGAUUUCAGAAGUUUACACAUCAUUCCAAUCGAAGAACGAGCCAAGCAGUAAAAGAACGCGGAGAUAUAGCAAGCAAGCAUCGAUGUUCUCCCUUUAGAAUCUACUGCAACAAGCUCGCAACUCCUAAACCAAACAGCUAAUAACUUUCCCCCAUAUCAGCUUAAUCAGUGUUUGCUAAUACACAAGUAUCCGAAGUUGAAUACAUAUUCAUAAUUAUCACCUAUCGUAACAAGAAAUUUCAGUCUCCUGAUCUAGAAUUUCUUGCAGACUAUAAAAAAAUAUAAAACACAUGAUAUGAAGAAAGAGUACCAGCAGUACACAAAGAAGAUUGAAAUCGAAUCAAUACGGAUGGCAACGGUGAUACGCCAAGUGAACGGAAGGCGUAGAAGUACGACGCAUGUAGACAGCACUAUCUCUGUAACCUAGGGAGUGGGAGGACGAAGAUGGUAGACGGGCAGUUUCAGCUGAGGGUCUGAGGAGAAUUGAGGUUAGGGCAGAAAGAGAGAAAAAAAAGUAAGAGAAACAAUUAAAAUUAAAUUAAAACAAUAUAGAAAUCACUUUUUUAAAAAAUAAAUCUUACUGUAUUUACCGUAUAUUCUCAAUUGAAUUAAAAAAUGAUUUAUAAAAUUAUAAUUUUUGAUUUGUACAGAUUUAUCAAGAAUUAAUUGUUUUUAUAUCUUUAAUUAAAUUAAAUUAAAUUAAUUAAUUUUCAAAAUAACAUUAUUCAUAAAUUUAUAAUUAUAAUUUUAGAGAUUUAUAAAAAAUUUGUUGCUUUAGUUGAAAUUAAAUUUAUUUUUUUAAAAAAAAAAAGUUAAAAAGAGCAUUAUUUAUAUUAAUUUCUGUGUUUUCAAUUUUUUUUAUUGUUCUAGUGCAAAUUUCUUAAUUUCUAAAUCUGUUCAAAACAUAACUUCAUACAUUGUGUACUAAUAACAUUACAUAUGAGAAUUAAGUGAAGAUAAAAUUCAAAAAUUUAUAAUUUUGAAAAAAAACCCACCUUCAAAUGAAUAAAAAAAUACAUAUAUUUUAAAUAAAUUAUAGAAAUAUAAUUUAUUUAUCUGACAUGAAACCCAUAAUGAAAUCUAACAAGGCCUCUCAGCCAGAUGGGUACGUGCAUUCUUUGUGUGUGGCUACACAAAAUAUAUAGAAAUAAUACUUGUAGGAGCAAAAUAAGAAAUUUUACUGCAGUAACAUUUGCAAACUACUUAUUGAGACUCGAUAACUUAUCUCAAGAUUCACAUUCUGAUUUCACAGAGGCAGGUUUGAUACCACCCACAAGCUUUAGGUACUUCGUUUUUCUCUUGCCAAAUUUCUUGGUAGCUUUUUUAUGAUAAUUAGUUACUUCCUGUAUUUUGAGGUUAACUUUUUCCAAAUCUACAUUCUUCUCCUUAAUUUGUCUCGAGAUCUUUGUACUUUCAGGAGAUUCAUGUAUCUGAACUGGAAAAUAUAUUUUAGAAUUCCUGAAAAAAAAAAAACAAUCGGCAAAAACGAUAAAUGAGAUUACAGAGAUUACGCAACACCAACGCAAUAUAAAAUUUACUUAAAACUUUAACUGUUACAUGCACAGAUUAAACCUGAUCAAAUAAGAUUCUUAUUAGUUUUAAAGACUAAAUACAUAUAAAGGUAUGUGUAAACAAUGGCACCGUACCCCAAAAAGCUAUUUAGUAAAAUUUUAGGCGAAACCAUAUAUUGAAAUUAAUUAUGUGUUCUAGAUUCGGUAUAUGUCAUGCAAAUGUCCAUGAGUAAAUGCUAGUGUGCGUUUGGAAUGGAGAACAAGAAAAUGUGUUGCAUACCGAACUCCAAGUGAAACAAAUCCAUUCGGCUUCAAAAUUCCACCAUCUAAAGAUACAGCACCAUGAUUUAUAUAUGCACGAGCAACUUCCAUAUGCUUUCUCGUUUCAUACACCUGAACCUCACCGAAUAGACUGUAGAAUAGGGUCUCCCUGAGACCAUGGUUUGCAGCCGUUCUUGUAUUUUUUAAGUGAUGAGCAUCUAUGUUUAUCAUAUUAACUGCAUACCCCAUGAAACCUGGUAGAAUUUCCCCAGUUGGUAAGGUAGGAUCUGGCAAGGCUAGCUUUUCUUGAGGGUCAUCCCUUAUAAACUCCCCUGUAUAAGCUCUGUGCAUUAUAAGAAUGAAUGACUUGCGCGUUUUAUGAUUUUUUCUGGAUAUAUUCAGUUCUUAAAGUCCAAUUUGAAACUGCAAUUUUGAAAUUCUACAAACAUACCUUACAUCCUCAAGGCAUAUAACAAGAAAUCGGUCAUUUAUAGACUUUCCAAGAGCUGCAGCUUCAGCAUGAAGACCGAGAUUAUAAUUAACUUCUCCAUCUUGGUUGUAAUACUCAAGCUCACGUGCAGCUUCAGAGGAUCUACACACCACAGCAAACAGCUGAUCUUCACCCAAGUAUUCAGCCAAUAUUCUGCAUUGAGAAAAAUGUCAAUAUAAUAAAAGAAAAUACAUUAUAGGAUGUACUACCCUGUUUUGCGAAACCCGUGCCCGUUCAAUCUUAUGCCUGUUUGGUUAUCCGCUAUGAAGCCUUAUGUGUGUAAACCAUCCACCUGAUAAAUUCUUCAUUAAACAAAUAUGUGGCUCUUCAAAUAUGUCUCUUCUCAACAAGCAACAAAAAAGAGCAGCAGCAGUGCCACCCUUGUUCUCGAUCCUUUUGAUGAUUUCAUCUCGUGUGCACAAGCAGUCCAGAUUAUCUGAAAUCAUUUGAGGGAAACAUUGGGCCGAGUUAAUGCAUUUUCACCAACUAUUCACGAAAUGAACAAGUUCCAGUAUCUUCAACUAACAAAUUAAUAAAGCAAAUAAUAAUUUGAACCAUAAAAAAAACAAAGCCCCACGUAAGAUAACAUCUAACAGUUUCAUAAGUGGUAAGUAUUCUAUGCAAUGUAGACCACCUGUUACCUAGAUUAUGGCCUAAAAAUGUCCUUAAUCAAAUAAUAAUUCAUGACAAUGGAAGAAUCUCGAUAGUGGUCUUUGGUUAAUGUUUAUACCUAAAUAUAUCUCACCUGGCAACAUACCGUGACAAUUGCAGUAAGAAGCAACAGCUUAAAUAAAAUAUAAACGUGCAGCAAGAGUUCAAGGAAUUGAUCUGCCCAGAGUGUGGCCGCAAUUACAUACAGUUUAAAUGUAAAGUAUAGUACUGCCGCAAUUACUUAUAAAAGUAACAAAACUAGAUUUUUGACAUGACAAAAAUCUCCACGAAUGGCAAUCAUAAAUUCACUUUCUCUGAUUCGAAUAAUCUGUUUAUUAUAAUUGUUUAAAUAGUAAUUGUCAGAAAUAGUACUGCAGCCUCAACCACGGUGUGCAUCUCAAUAAUGUUUCCUUAACCAUCUUGCAUCUUGUAAAAAAAACAAACUGGUGCAUGAUUCAAGAAGAGCUAACAACCAAGACCUUGCAAAACACCCUUCUCGUGCUCGACUUUUGCCUUAAAACCAUUUAGAAGUUCCAGCUGAUUUUCAAGUUUCCCAAUAAGCAAACCAUAUUUCUCAAUUCCAUCUGCAAGCACCUGCAGAAACCAGUAUAAGACAUUGGAUUCGAUUGCUAUACUAAAUAUUUCCAUCCAAUAAAACUACAGUUUUGCAUUGAGGCCAAAUAUUUUUAUCUGGAAGCUGAUAAACAAAUAGGAUAAAUCCAUCAUGCCUUCUCAUUAUUCAUCAAUGAUACCACAUUAGCUGCAUGACCGUUUGAGGAGUCUUCGAGCAGCAAACUUUUUCUAUAUAAACAAGAUGAUUGAUACUCAUGCCAGCUCACAUUUGUAGCAGGCUCUAAUUCUGCAGUUUUAGCUGUCUCAACACGAAUCUGAAAAUAAAAUAAAAACUAAGCAAUAUGGAACUUUAGAUCGCGAGAAGGAAAAUAACUAAAUGUUGCUGCGACCUUGACAGUAAGAUGCAGCUCUGCAUGACGAGAAUGAGAAACUUCAAAGCAAAUUGUCCCUUCAUUCUUAGGGAGAGGGAGAAACGGAACAGUGCAGCGUCCAUGUAUAAAAGCAUAUUGAAACAACUGAUUCUUAUUAAAUGACUCCGACUUUAUUGUUAGAGUAUGGGCUCCAUUGCAUUCCUCAUCGUAAUGGAUAGUUCCAUCAACUUCGUCAUUAGAGUCAACAAUUUCAAAAACUACAUUUUCUAAGUGAGAGCCUGCAACGCAGGAUUCAGGUACCUAAUAACAUAUAUUCCAUCAAAAAGAUGAGCAGAGAAAAUGCAACUUAAUAUGGGAAAAAAAAAAAGAGAAAGCAGCGCUUUACUAACCCCUGAUGCAACCAUGAGCUUUCUUGUUUCAGUUUGAAACUCUUGCUUGAAAAUUGCUUUACUAUCAGACAAAACAAUAAGCGAUGCUGCGAAGCAGUGAAAACAUGCAACUCUCAUAUACAAAUGAUAUAUCCAAAAGCACAAAAAUUAGUAACUGCUGAAUAAAAGGGAGUAUGGAAAGAAAGAAAAUCAAAACUUUAAAAAACAUUCACAUUGAUGUCUGGACAUGCACCAUACUUUCAAAUGCCAUGAUGAAAAUGUGUAUGACAAAGAGGCAGACCAGACAAUCUACAAUACACUAUACUAAUUAGCCCUGAGUGGAAACUUCCUGGCAUGAAAAGCUUGUGAAAAGAAACUGCUGUCAAAAUAGCAGUUGAACUACGCAACUCGCUCUCCUACUUAUCAGAAUUCAGUACGAUCAUGAAAGUUUCAAAAAGAAAGAAUCAAAUUAUAGCUCCAUUUUUCAUAAUACUAUAACAUUCUAGUUAAAUUUAUCUCCCUAGUUAGUUAUUUUGUUUGUGGAAAUUUGCUCAUUCAUUUUAUCAAUAAUAAGAUAGCACCACCUUGCAUGUCAUCCUUGGAUAGAGCGACAAAAGCAUUAUCAUGGAGCAAAAAGCUGUUAAAUAUGCAUACCACUUUUUCCAUAACCCACAUUUACUUUCAGAACUCCACUGAGGUCUACAUAUCCAAGAUCAUUCACCUACAUGGUAAAAAUUCUACUAUCAAAACUUCGAAGUUAAAUAAUAUCCAGACAUUCAACCAUGAAAAUCUAACUAAUUAACAAUGUGAUCUAACAAAUAAAAUUUGCAACAUUUUCUUCAUAUCCAUCACAUCUAAGAACCUUGGAAUAAACUAACUUUUGUGGGCAAUUUCCAGCUCAGAUUAAGUUCAUAAAUUUAGAUGACAAAAAUAGCAAAAUAUCUAAGGUACAGCAUGGAAAAUUUGAAUAAUCUAUAUAUCAUCACUCUCCUAAAAGUUUGGCCCAUGAUGGAAAGAUAUAAUAUUCUCUUCAAUUUUUGUGCACGGCAAUCACCAAUUGUGAAUGUGGAAUAAUACGAAUCUUAAUUAUUGAUACUAUAGAAGGAAACAAACCUAACUACCAUAGUUUUGCAUUAUGAGGUAUGAUAUUAUUUCUUUAACUAGAACAUUUGAAGGAAUAUGCUAGAAAAUAUGCAGAAGGGAAGCAUAAACAACCUUAUGCUUUCGGCCUAUCUGGCCUUGGAUGUGAAAUCCAUCCACAUUCAAUUCAACUUCGGAGCCUUCUAUAAUAUGAUUACCAUAUUCAUCAAACAUCUGGAAGAAUGGAUAGGAAAAACAUAUAAGUGAGCAUGAACAAGCAAGUUCUGCCUCCAAAAAAUUUCCAUUAUCCAAAUGAAAUGACUACCGAUCCACAAAAACACUUGAUCAUUCGCCAGUGUAUAAAUACAAAUGUACAAGAUCCAAAGCUGACAUUAAACUAUGCUGAAUAAUAAGUCCAAAGGAAAAUAAUAAGAAAGAAAAAGAAGAUUAUGUACAGUGCCUAAAUACCUCCAACAUCAAAUGGCUAAUCACACAACCAGGAAGCAAGUUAUUCCUCAAUGUUGGUGACCAUACAAUGACAUGCCGCAAAGAUCCCGGUACAACUAACAAAAAUUAGAAAACAAAACGUUAUCUAGGAAGAAAAAGAAGUAUGGUGUAUGCAUGCAACUUUAAACAAUCAAUAAUUCUGUUUCCUGUAUCAAUGUAGACCAGCAUACUUUCACAUGGAAUGGAAACUGAAACCAACUCAUCUUCUUGAUAUAUCACCAACGUUGCAGCAUAACUUGGUCUGAUCCUGUCUAACUCGUUGCUAUGAAUUAGUAUAUUCUGCACAGGCAAAAAGAAAUCCAAGUAAUAACAAAAAUGACAAUUUAUAUUCAUAUUGAUGUACAUAAAGGGCAAUGUCAAAAGGAGGGGCAAACAGCAAGUUUCUUACUGUUCAUACCUCAAUCUUAACAAUCGAUUUAUCAUAUGAAAGCUUAACCUUCACUUUAUCUAUCUCAAUGCAUAAACCGUUCGUUGUAAUAAGUUUGGCGAUCACAGAUGGGGUAGAAGUAAAAUGAAUUCGAUUCCCAUAGAUGUCAUAACAAGCAAUGGAGCAAGGUGGGAAAGAUGAACCAACCCUGUAAAACAUGGAUAAUUCUUUUGAGUAAUGGUUGGCAUUAAUAUCAAAAUUUUCACAGAAGACUUCUUCAAUUGAAAAUUCAAGAGCCAAGUGCCCUUACUGGAUAGAAUAUGAUGUAUUCUUUUCAUGAUUUAUAAUUUUCCACUCUCCAACCUCAGAUGAUGCCUUAACAAGAACAUGUUUUACACAUGUCUCGCAACCUGACUCUGGCUGAUGUAUAAGAGUUCAUUAAAUCAGAUUAUAUAGAUAAUGCACAAAAAUGAAAUAACAAAAUGAAAUAACCUGUGAUAACUUACAAUGGAGAAAGUAAAUGUAUAAACACCAGCAUUCUCAAAUAAUUUUGGGAACCUACAUCCUAGCGAAAAGAUGUAUAAACCAUGAAACCCUUUAAGAGAAGAAGGUGCUGAACGUCCUGAGUAAAUAUGUUGAUCAUCUUGAGACUUGACUUCUCUUCUGAAUUUGACUUCCAAAAGCAUUUCAAAGUUGCUCUUGAUAAUAAACUUUUGAUCCAAGUUCUUAGAAGCACCCGAAGAAUCAAAAUUACCAGGUCGGAUAACGGCCACAAAACUUGGUGGAACUUGUCCAGCAAGAACUGGAUCAUGAGAUAACGCCUGGAACAGAAAUUAGUAAUGAGUAUAGUUGCUAAAGCUUAAGAGAAAGGAACAGUCUAGAGCUCAAUGUGGAUACUUCAGUUUACCUCCAAAAUUAACAGGUAGAAAAACUACAUGAAAACUAAGGUUUUACGAUCUGUUCAAAGAGCACUUUCAAAGGUAUCCAAAAGCCACAACUUCUAUGUAGUAAAUAAUAGAUGGAAGAAACAUACCCCACCAAAUUCCAACUCUUGACAGUGUUUCUCAUUCAGCAGAUCAAUCAUAGAUGGGGCUUUCUGCUUUUGUUUCUCGAGGCGAUCCACCCACUCAUUUUUUUCAAUGGCACAACACUAGAAAUGGAUUAGAAUUUAGCAAACGAUUCCUUACAUGUAAAUAUUUUACACAUAGAUCAUACCCGAGGAAAACAUAGAAGUAAAUGGCAAACCUUUCCGCAAUCAAUGAUACUAAUUGGAAAGGAUAACGAAUUACGAAUAUCUAACCGAGCAUUCCCGUCAUUCACUUCAAGGAUACAACCACUCUCAUCUGGCACACCCAGUGGCCUUCACACACCAAAAAUGAAAAAUGUAUAUAUUUCACAAGAAAACAAUUAUAAAAAUUAGAAGUUUCAACAAACAAAGAGCCUUUGCAGCAGAAAAUGAAUAAGAAAACAUACCUGCAUAUAAUUCGAGCUUCCCCUGUCCAAAACGUAAAAAAGAGAAAAUACAGUCUAUAAUCAGCAGGAUUUGGGCAAAGUUGAGUUCAUGAGAGACUGGAAAACAUACUUUGUUUAAUCAUCAACAACGAAGAUUAAUGGUCAAAUAUUAUUAGAAAUAUUAACCUUACCACCAGCAUCUCCCUGAAAUCCUUCAAUUAAAAAAUAUUCUAAUGUUGCAUAGACAUUAUUCUUCCAGCACCCAGCGCAAGCUCCCUUCAGAACCUUUAUGUUUUGCCCAUAUUUCCAUAAUAACCCCUUCCUCUUGAAAAUCCUAUGCACCCUUACAACUAUAUUGAACAGGAAUAAGUGUGAAACAAACAGAACAAGAAAGACUAGAAAAGAAUAUAAAAAUGGUAGAAAUAAGUUGAUUGGCUACAUGCUAAAAGAAGCUCAGCAAUAAGCAUUGACAAUCUGAUGUUAUUUGUAUGUGAAAUGGAAAUCCCUGGUAAUUGAUGCCUACCAUCUGAUGAAAUGCCAAGCUCCUUCUUAUUCAGAGGGCUUAUGACAAGAACCGGUUCAUCCUCACCAGAAUUGAUCUCCUCAUCAUGGUCAUCAUGCAUCUGAAGGAUCCAAUUCUGAUACUCUUUUUCUAGUUGUGAAGGGUUUAUUUGUCUUCCAGAUCUAUGAACUUCGAUUGUUAUAUCUAGAAAUUUUAAAUUACACAAUUAAGCAUGAACAUUAUAGCAUCAACGUAACAAAAUAACAAGAAGUUCCAUCCUUGCAAUCAACAAAAAAAAAACUAAUACCUUUCUCCUUUUCAACUGACUUACUGCCAGAGUUCUUCUCUUUUUCAAAUGACUUACUGCCAAAAUUUUUCAAAGCAAUGGUAAAAAGGUUGUGGUGUGCUAGAUCCGUCUGCAAAUCAAUGCCUUUAUUCAUUAUCUUGUAAGUGGAUAAGGAACAAAAUGACAAAAGAAUGACGAAAGAGGACAUGACAGCCAGCAACAUAUGUAUAUAUAUGUAUAUAUAUAUAUUGUGUCAGAACCAAGGAACCUAAUACUGAAAACUCAAAUACAACUGUAAAAUGUGGAGUUGCAGAUCCAACAUGAUACUGAAAGCUGUGGAUGUAUCUAUAACAUACCUUAGAAGGAGUUGGAUUAAAACCAGCAUCUGUUUCUGCAAAAGCAACAGUCUUUUUUCAAGGAAACAAAUAUUUUUAGUGCAAAAGAAAUUCUGCUGGCGAGACCAAACAAAAGUAAGUUUUAAAUACGCCUUACCAACAAAGCAUUUAACUCUCAUGCAGCAUCUCUUCAAUAUAAGAGCUUUAUCUCCCUUCUUCUGCUUGAAGUCCAUAAAUGGAAGUAAUGCCUAGACAAUUAAAAAAAAAAGCAUUCAUUUCAUUUAGUUGUAGGCCUUGAAAUCUACUAAUUCUAAGGGUGCAAUCAAAUUUAUCCAUUUAUUAAGCUCUCUAUUGCCAUUACUUUUUCGGGGCAAAGGCAAGUAAAAGUAUUACCUUCCAGCAACAUCCUUUGCAGCUUAUCCCAAUAACAAACAUCCCAUACUAAUCACAACUGAAGUUUAUUGAUGUUUUCAUUCUCUUCUUUAUUUCAAGCAAAAGAAAAGAGUUAAUUGGCUCAAAUGAGAUCUCACUCCACAACAGACUUGAAUUUCGAUAUCCAACAGUAUUAGGGAGGGAUACAAGAAAAGGAAAAAGGGUAAAACCUAUAGCCUGCAUAAUAGGACAAAACACCAUCUAAUACUUCCGAACACUAAAUUACUCCAAUUUUCGGAUAGUAAUGUUUUGCACAUCCAUGAAAAAAUCACAAGAAAUCAUGAACUGAAAAGAGUGAGAAACAUUUUUUAUGAAUAAAAACGUUUCUAAGACACCAUUAAAGAGCCAUGAGCCUUAGCCCACGAAGCAGAAAAGAAUACCAUUCUGCCCCAGAAAAGCUGGAUGGCUAGUUUGGUCCUUAAAAACAUUAGCAUUACACUCCAACCACUCUACGAAGGAUGAGAAAGGAACAAGUCAACCAUAACAAAAUGCAACAAAAAGAAUAGAUCAAAGCCUCCAUGCCGCUUCAAAAUAAAAAUAAAUGAACUGCCUUAAAGAGUAAGAAUUAUGGUUAUCCCUAACAAAUAAAUCUAAAUUGUAGCUAAAUAGUCUAUAAUCAUUCACAGGAGCAGGUAACUAACCCAGCGAGCAUCUGGAAGUAGACGACCAAGCCGACGAACUGAAACACGACUGAAGCUUUCAUAGUUUUCUGGAAUUCCACAUCCUUGAGCUUCCAGACUUUCCAAAAUCCUCUCAAUACACUCUUCCCCCUGUAAUGAAUCAUUUUAGAACUUUUUGUUGCAUCAUUUAAGGAGAAAACUUAUGUGCAUAAAUUCCCGUACCUCAACAAUAGGAAGAUAAACACACCUAAGGCGAGCAUUUGCUUCUUGAGAUGCCUUAGAGCCUGAAAGGUUUCAGGUUUGAAAAAGAAAGGUGUCACAAUCAGGAAUGUUGUUAAAAAUAUGACAUUAUUAACCAUGAAAACAACCUGGGCUUGUUGUAUGAUGGUCUUUUCUAAGGGAAAAGUGAAGCUGAAAAGUAAAUUCAUCUCCAUUGCAAGAAUGUAAGUUGGUAACUGCAACCUCCCCACCUUCAAUUUCAGUCAAAUCAACACCAUUAACCUGAACACACGCAUUCAUUCCCAAAGUGCAAAAGGAAGCGAUCGUAACUACAGGAUGCUUUUAUGUGAUGCCAUAAACUCAAUGGACAAUGAUGGAAAGGUUAACUACAGAAAUUGCAUGCAAUAAUAACCACCUGAUAUUUCCAUUUGCGCAAAACCGUAUUUAUACAAUUUGGAAGUAUCUACGAUGGUCUCAGUUCAUGGAUCUUGUCAUGGGAUUCUAUUAAUAGUAUGGUUUCGUUAAAAGAAAACUCAAUUAUUUCUGAUUUUUGAUAAUAGUAUGGGUUUGUUAAGACGGACGCCAACGAUAUCUCAAGAGUAAGAAGGUACUCGACAUUUUUCAUAAAUUUUUUCUUACCAAAAAUUUGUCAAAGAAGACGAUAUGUAUUUAUACAAGAGAAACAGUAGUUAUGUAAGUUAUAUCUAUAAUGUACUAUCUCUUUAUGCUUAUUUAGACUUAUUCUCCUUAAUAUGCAUGUUCAUAUUAAACAUCAUUUUGCACAACACAUAUUGACCUAUUCUCCCCAGUACAUCAUGAUAUGUUAAGUCCACCUGUGCUUAACAUAUCAUUUAUUCUCCCUAAUACAUUAAAAUAUUACUCAUAACAUUACGCCCUCUUGAAAAUUUGUGCUUGUCUUCAAGCACAAAAUUUCUGCCAUUGCUAUAGUUUCAAGUUCUAGCAACGCUGGAAUUUCAGAAUUUUCUCCAUUCUCGGAACUGUCAAAAAGGAAAAGGUCCAGUUUGGUGUAACGAGGCAGAUAGGGCGCUUAGCAUGCUGGUGCCUCCAGGCCACUGCGGUUAGCGUUGAGCAAGCAGACGCGCAUUUGCAGGACUGUGCAGUGCACACAGAGGGGUGCGUUGUGGAUUUAAUAGCCCCUGUGCAGCGUGCCUGAUGGUGGUCUGCUUGGCUGCUUCCUUUACUGGACUGAUUGUAGCUAUUCUAGCCAAUAAUUCCUCUAUUCCCCCACUAAAUAUUAAAAUUUCAAUUCAUCUUAUUCUGUAUCUUCUUGAUAAGUUUGCAGAAAUUUGUCAAACAUGGAAUAUGAUUCCUCCAUAAUGAUUUGACUCUGAUACCAAAUCAAUACGGUCCAGUCUACGAAUCUCAUUAUGAAAUUUUGUUAAUAGUACGGGCUCGUUAAGAGAGACUAACAGUUUUCGAUUUUUGUUAAUAAUAUGGACUCGUUAAGAGAGAAUUCAAUAAUCUCUUGAAGAAGAAAGCACUCGACAUUUUUUUAAAAAAAAAUUCUUACCUAAAAAUCUGUAAAAGGAAACAGUAUGUGUUGAUACAAGAGAAAGAGUAGUUAAAUGAAAGUUACUUGAAUUAACUACCUCCUCCUCAUCUAGACUUAUUCUUUCCUAAUAGACAUCUCGAUAAUUAACAGAUUAUUUUACAUAUAACUCACACUGACUUGUUCUCCCUAAUAAUAUACUUGUCCACCCAUAAUAGAAUCCUGUACACUUCUUCAUAUAUCAUUGUUAUUUCUCUUUUUUUUUCCUCAUUCCAACUUAAAAUUUCAUUUGGUUAUUUACAUAAAAUAUCAGUCUCUUAUUGGUUAAAAUCUAUAGAAUACUUGCAGAAGUUUAUUACCAGAGGAUGAAGCAAAACCUUUAUAACCCUAAAUGAUAACUGAAUAUAAACUCUAAGACAUCCAUAUAAUAAUUAGAAAAUCUAUGCACAGAUAUCAAACCUGGAACUCAAUUGGUGUUUCAGUUUUCCCUGUCUCGCACAUUUCGUCGCACUACAGUCCACAACACAAGGGAAAAUAUGUAGUUUAGACUCAGGACAUCUUUCAAAAGUCAUGGUAGUGAUAAUAGAUCUUCAAACAAAAAACGGUUACAUAAUAAGAAAAUUUUUCAAAAACAAUAUUUACAAUACAAAUACAAAAACCUGUCUCUUUUUUAUCCUCAUAUUUGGAACUGAAAGAAAUCAGUUGAUCUCCAAGGUUUGGUCUGAGCAAACCUGGAUAUAUGGAAAGUAGAUGUCCUUCAGUCUGCAUUGGAGCUUAUAUAGAUCCAAGCUUUUCAUUUUAGGCUCUAAUAUCUCCACCUAUCAUAAGCAUCUACAAAAGUUAAACGUGUAUAAACCAAAAACAACAAGUACAUGGCUGAGGAAUAUCGUAACCACAAACAGUUAGCAUAAACUUCUUAAGGUCAGGGAUGAGAAUCAAGUUCUGUCAAUUGCAAUAACAUGAGUAAACGAUGUAACUAAACGUAAUAUGCCAGCAGAAGUAUCAGUUUAGGUUGGUUUAUAAGCAGGACUCACCAUCAGUCUAGAUAUCCUUGUUUUUCGGCAUGAUUGUUACUUAAUUAUGUCAUAAUUUCCAAGUUUGGGACAUUAGGACAAAGAUCUAUGUAACAAAUAACUCUUCUAGGUGUGGGGUUCAGUUACUUUGUUAGGUCCCAGUCAGAGCUGCAAAAUAACCCAAGAAUUUUCUGCUUAUGGUGAGAAAAGACCAAGAAAAGUUCCAGAAAAAUUAUGAUAUGCUUUAUUGAUAGUUUGGUCAGUCUUUAAAUAGAAUUUCUUACAACAAUAAUUCCUGCUUUGGUGGUUCUAGAUAAGAAUUAAAAAUACAAGGAAAUCAGAAAAAUGUUAGUAGGAGAACAGAUUGCGGGAUCCCCUUGAUUGAUUCUGGAGGUGUCUGUAUUUCCUACUGCUGCCGUUGCAGAUCACUUCUGAAGGUCUUCAUCAGUCCAGGUAUUUCAGAUUCCUCACAGGAACCCGUUGGGAUCGUCGGGGCCUACCAUCACUCCCUCCCGAAGAGGAACCUUGUCCUCAAGGUUCGAGUUGAAGAAUCUAGCUUGCAGCUCCUUAGAAUUUUCCCAGGUGGCAUCUUCUGUGGGCAGGUCCUUCCAUUUCACCAGACUUUCUUCCACAAAUGGUGAACCUUUUUUUAGCCAACAAAUACCUAAUAUUGCUUCUGGGUGGAGAAUAAUAUUGCCUUCUUCUGUUGCCGUGGGCAGUUCCUCGUUGGGAAGAAAUGAAUCGCCAAUUUUCUUUUUUAGUAGGGAAACAUGAAAUACCGGAUCAAUGCAAGAUUCCAGAGGCAGCUUGAGCUUGUAGGCAACCUGAUCAAUUUUUUCUUCAAUUUGGUAUGGCCCAAAGAAGUGGCGUGCAAGCUUCUGUAAAGCUCUUUGAAAACGGUUUGCUGUCUAUAAGGCUCUAACUGGAGAAAGACCCAUUCGCCGACUUGAAACUCAACAUGGCGUCGCUCUGAAUUUGCUGUUUGCUGUAUGCGAUUGCUGGAAAUUUUGGCCUUAAGUUGGCGGAGUAUUUCGUUCCUUGCUGUCAGUUGGUGGUCAACCUCGUUCACAGCUGUGAUGCCCUCAAUGUAAUGUGGAAUAGUGGGUGGAGGGCGUCCAUAUUAGGCUUGGAAGGGAGUCAUGCCGAUUGAUGAGUGGUAGAUGAUGUUUUACUAAAAUUCUGCCAUGGAAGGAGUGGGUACCAUUUACUGGGCCGUUGAUGGGCAAGGCACCUUAAAUAUUUGUUGACCACUUCAGAUUGUCUGUCGGUUUGCGGGUGGUAUGAGAAGCUCAACUUCAAUUCCGUACCUGACAAUUUAAAAAAUUCAUUUCAAAAGUGACUGAUAAAUAUGGAAUUUUGGUCACUUACAAUUGAACGCGGCAUGUCAUGUAACUUGACUACGCCCUCCACAAAUUUCUCUACGACAAUCUUGGCAAUGUGGGGAGGGGAUGGGAGAGGGAAAGGGACAAGGCCAGAAAAUGAGCUAAUUUGCUAAGGCGGUCAACGACUACCAGGAUAGUGUUUUUACCCUGAGAAUGAGGUAACCCUUCUUAAAGUCCAUGGUAAUGUCAUCCCAAACUUACCAUGGAAUAGGUAGUGAUUAUAAUAACCCAGUAGUUUCUAAAUUGGCCCUUUGGCAUACUUCACAAACCGAUACAUAAUUUUGAAUUGUUUGGCGCAUGGAAGCCCAAAAAAAUCGUUGUACCAGCCUUUUGUAAGUUCUGAGUACUCCUGAUUGACCGCCCAUAUAAGAGUCAUGAUAUGCUUGCAAUAAGUGUUGGAUGAUGUUGGACUUCAGAGGUACUACAAUGCGCUGUUAUAGCAAAUUAGACCAUUUUAUCUGUAUAUGGGCAGCCUGGAUGGUUUUGGGCUAGCUCUUCUAAGCAUAUAACGGUUGCCAUUGGCUGCUUCUCUAAUUUGGUCCCAUAGUGAUAUACUAGCUGUGAAGGGCAUUUAAUGUUGGCCUGUUUACUUGCCGAAAGAGGGCGUUGGUGGCUUGAUUUUCUUUCCCAGGUUUGUACCGUAUUUCGUAGUCAUAACUAAAUAAUUUGGAGACCCAUUUUUGUUGCUCAGGAUUGGUAAUUCUUUGAUCAAUUAGGUACUUUAAGCUGCAUUGAUCCGUCUUGAUAAAGAACUUACACCCCAAAAGAUGCGGCCUCCAAUUCUGAACGUCGACCACUAUAUCUAACAUUUCUUUGGCCUAGGUGGACCAAGACAUCUUAAACGUGCCCAAUGCAUGGCUCAUAUAAGCGAUAUUUGAGUAAGUACUGCUUCAAUUCCAUCGCCUUAUGCGUCCGCCUUAAUAGUGAAGGGUUUAGUGAAAUUUGGGAGUGCCAAAGUGGGUGUGGAGGUCAUGGCUUGCUUCAAUUCUGUAAAUGCUGCUUCAACUUCUUCGUUCCAUUGAAAGAAUCUUUUUUUGAGUAAACUUAUCAAGCAUUUAGCCAUGAGUCCAUGGCUCUUCACAAAUUUGCGAUAGUAUCUGGUAAGACCUAGAAAGUUAUGUAGCUUUGUGAUGUUGAUGGGUUUCGACCAAUUGAGCAUGGCUUGAAUUUUUUCUUGAUCUACUUUGACCCCUCCUAAUGUAACAAUAUGACCAAGAUAUUCUAAUUCUUGGUGGACGAACAGACUUUUUUAAUUUCACAAAGAAUCAAUGUUGCUUUAGGAUCUCAAAAACCAUCCCGAUAUGUUCUAAAUGGGAAUCCCAGUUGACACUAUAUGCCAAAAUAUCAUCAAAGAAAACCAACACAAAUUUUCGCAGAUAUGGACGAAAAAUAACAUUCAUAACAGCCUGAAAUGUAAUGGCUUGAAAUGUAAAAGGUGCAUUACAAAGACCAAGCGCAUCCAAGUACUCGUAGUGGCCGUUGUGGGUUCUGAAAGCAGUCUUGUGAAUGUCAGAAGGAUGGACACAAACCUGAUGAUAUCCGACAGUGAGAUAUAAUUUUGUGAAGUAAACAGCUCCGUUCAAUUCGACGAACAUAUCUUCUACGGUGGGAAUGGGAAAACAAUCUUUAAUUGUAACAACAUUGAGCGCGUGGUAAUUGGCGCUAAAUCACAAUGUUCUUUUUUCUCAAUAACAGAACAGGGGAGGAAAAAGGACUGGUACUGUGGCGUAUGAGUCUUGAACUGAACAUUUUUUAUACCUACUUCUCUAUCUCUGCCUUCUGGAAAUAUGCAUAACGAUAUGGUUGGACAUUGACUGGUUCGGUAUCGUCCUUGAGAUGAAUUCGGUGAUCAAUGUCCCUCUCGGGCGGUAGCUAUUUUGGUUCUUGAAAUAAUUCAAACAAUUCCUUGAACAAUUCUUGUAAUUCAAUUCUGUCACCCGGUGCAGCAACCUCACGCUCGGCCCUGAAACAUAUGGCUUACAUGAAGUGUCGACCUGGAAUGGCCCGAUUGAUCUCCUCCAGGGAAGACGCCUGAAUGGUGGCGCUCCCAAACCGUGUAGCAACUGUGGCUUGUUCUGCCAUUGGAAUUUCAUCGUUAAUUUCUUCCAAUCGCACAUCAUCGUGCCCAAGGCUUCCAACCAAUGCACUCCUAGCACAAGAUCAAGCCCCAUUGGAGGAAGACAAUAAAGAGUGAGGGUGAACGAAAUACCUUAAAUGGUGAUCGACACAUUUUUAAACCACUCUCUACAACUCAUCAGCUUGCCGUUUGCGACCUUCACGACGAAUGGCGAUGUUGGGAUCAUUGGGAGUUGUAAACGCCCCACAACUCAGUCACUGACCAAAUCGUGGAUAACCUGGAUGGUGGCAGGAACUUUCAUAGUGCCUGUGUUAGGCCACGUAGUGAGGGCAUGGAGCGAGAUUUCUAGUUCUUUGGUGUCGGCUCCUUCGCACCCGCUCUCGGGCAACAGAAGCUGCGACUCGCGGCAACGAUGGCCUGCAAUGAACUUCUCAUUGCAUUUGAAAAAGAGACCUUGGGUCUACUGUUGCUACUUCUCGUCCCAGGAGAGACGCUUCGCGAUAUAGGGAGCAACUAGAGCUUGCUGAUUCAGGACGAAGUGAUAGCUAAGGGCGGCUUGGGUGUUCGCGGGCGGGUUUUCCCUCAACCGGUUCAAUAUGCAUUGCUGGUCCAUCUGUUCUUCUUGCAUGAGGGUCAGGUCAAUUGCAUCUUUUAAAGUUUUGGGCAUGAACAUGUGUAUCCAUCUACCAGCUCGGGCUUAAGCCCACCAAUGAAGGUCCCAAUCAGGGCCUUUUGGGUCCACUCGUGGACCAGGUUACCCAGGCGUUCAAAUUCUUUUUGGUACUUUCAUAAUGGGCCGGUCUGUUUGAUGCGAGAUAGGUCCUCAUCAAAGUUUUCGAACUUGGUUGGCCUAGACCUGUCCCAUAAUUCUUCCUCAAACACGGCCCAGUCUAUUGUGCAACCCUCUUCUUUGUAAAGCUUACUCAGCCACUGCCACCAGCAGUUGGCUUCUCCUUCAAGGUAGAACGACGAUAGGACUAUAUAGUGUUGCACAGUUGUCGCCUGAAAGUCAAAAAACUGCCCAAUCUGGUUGAGCCAUUCGAUGGAUUCGCCGCCUGAGAAGGACGGGAACUCCAGUUUGGAGUAGAUGGUGGAUCUCCCGUGGUCGCACUCGGGCCUUUCUUCACAAACCAGUCGCGGCAGACUUGAGCGGCUCAUUUGGUUGCUGCUGGAUCCUUCUCGGUUAGAAGCAAAGGUGUCUGGUAACUGCUAGAGGCUCUCCUCUAUUAGACACAUCUUAUCGGUCAGCUUGAUUUCCAUUCGGCAGAAACUAUUUUAUAAUCCGCCGGGGCCAGCUUCUAGAUUCUCGAUGCGUUCCUUGUUGGAGGUCGUUUUAACCGUGUUCGAACACCAAUGUCCUUGUUGGUCCCAGUUGGAGCUGCAAAAUAACCCAAGAAUUUUCUGCUUAUGGUGAGAAAAGACCAAAAACAUUUCUGGAAAAAUUAUGAUCUGCUUUAUUGACGGUUUGGUCAAUCUUUAAAUAGAAUUUGUUACAACGAUAAUUCCUGCUUUGGUGGUUAAAGAUAAGAAUUGAAGAUACAAAGACCAAAAACGAAAUUAGAAAAACACUAGUGAGAGAGCAUAUCGCAGGAUCCAGAAUUUGUUACAAUGAUAAUUCCUGCUUUGGUGGUUACAGAUAAGAAUUAAAGAUACAAAAAAAUCAAGAAGGAAAAUAGAAAAAUGCUAGUGGGAGAGCAAAUCUCAGGAUCCUCUUGACUGGUUCUGGAGGUGUCCGUUUUUUCUGCUGCUGCCGUUGCAGAUCACUUCUGCAGCCGUUAUGGGUAGGUCUUUAUCAGUCCAGGUAUUUCGGGUGCCUCACAGGAACCCAUUGGGAUCGUUGGGGCUUAUCAUACUUCCUCCAGGUAAGUUACUUGUCCUUGGGGUAAGUUGUACUUUCUAAUGUUAGCUUACAAGAGUGCUAUGUAUUAGAAAUAUGCAGAAAAAUCAGAAAAACUUCAUUAGUUCUUCUUGUUUAUGAGAUUGAAGGCUUUUCUCUAACAAGUCCUUUUCCUAUCACUAAUAGUAGGUCAUAAGGGUAGAAACUCCAUCCAUAAUUCAGGUCCUUCACUAGAUUUGCCAGUGCAGGAACCCACAACGAGACCCCCAGGUAUAGGACCUAAUAUAUAAUAGGAGGAAAAGCAUAACAUAUUGCUACAUCCUCAAAUUAGAUACAAAGUAAUUUAAAAGCAUACACAGCUGGUCUAAAGAAUAAGGAUAAAAAAGAAUGGAAAAUUAAAAAUGGAGCAGAAUCCACCUUUGUAAAGCUUCCUUGAGGUGAUAAACCAAUUUCGUCUUCUGAAGGAUCCCUCAAGCUACCAUCAGUCUAAAAUAAUAAUACAUAAUUUGAAAUGUAAAAUGUUAGUUUGACACUUCCUACAUUAAAAAAUUGCUCUUACACAAAACAUUACUAGCAAGGCAAACUUCUUAAAAGACAAUUCACUGAUCAGGGAGCUUGUUACCCUCCAAGUAACUCCAGAGUUAUUUUGGCUUAGUAAAGCCUCUCUCUCAAGGUGUAAUGUAUACACCUUCUUUGAACUCUUGGUCUUCGAUGACACUAAAGCAUGCCUAUAAGAAGACAGUAAAAAAGUACAUAACCCGAUAAGAAGUUGAAAAACAAAUAAUUUUGAUAGGACAGCACUUUUUCAAUUAUGGAGAAAAAAUAACGGGGAGUUGUACCUCCCUAAAUGCAUAGAUGCAAUAGCUCCUCCAUAUCCAAACAUGCCAAAGCAUGGCUGCAUGGGAACAGACAAGAGGUCCUUAGUUCCGACCGAUAAAAUCAUUAAUGGACAAAAGAAAAGAAAUUGUAAAUGUUAGAUAAUCUAUAGAUUUUCAGUUUAUAGGACACGGUGGGUUAAGUUCAACAAAUGCACAUCUUGAAAUUUUAAUAAAUCUAACAAUAUAAGAUAAAAGCCAUGAUAGUAACUAGCUAUAACACCAAAUUAUCUUCGAAUUUUCCUAAAACUUUCCAACGAGUAAACAUGCUCAAUUGAGCAGAAUAUGAUUAGACAUCAAAACAAAAAUUAAUAGAAGGAGCCAAAGAAACAUAGUGCACAUGAAUUAAGGACAGCACAGGCCUGGAUAACAUUUAUCUGCAGAACAAGGCCAUAGUUUGAAGCUAUAACACAGUAUGCUUACCAUUAAAUAAGGAGGUUUGCCACCUAUUCCUUGUGCUUUUGAAGAUCUGUGAAGCGAGGCCCCAAUCUUUCCCCUGGAGGAUGAAUAAAUAUAUAACAUGUGACUAAUUAAAAGUAGAAUGCACGCAAUAUGCAAAAAUAAAUUAUUCUUUGAAACUAGGCCAUUGUUUGAAAUAUAUUUCUUUUUACUUAUAUACAGUGAUACUUGAACUUCAACAAUCAAUUAACUCUAAAUUUUGGAGGCUUAGUUCCAAUGCAAACAAGUCAUCAUUGGAAAAUAUCCUUUGAAUUCAUCCAUUUAUUUUCCCUACUAUUCUUUUCACCAUUGUAAUAGUCUUCCUCUUCGACAAUUUUAUAACUCAACUUCUAAGCUUCCUGAAAGAACAUCCACAAGUCUUUAUCCAACGGGAAAAAGAAAAAUUGAAAAAAAUGGCUAAUAGAAUUUCUCAGUACCGGCUCAAAGUUAAUAGAUCUAAUAACAAGAGGUGGGCUACAAAUUAUAACUACCAACUGAUGAACAAUAAAGUUGAUGAAGAAAAUAGAAGUAUACCACUUUACCAUGGAGUUUUCAUCACUCCCAUCCAUUCCAGAACCGGUAUCAAAGAUUGAAAUCCUACCUUCAGAAACAUCCACCCUGAAAAACACACAGAUAAUUCCAUCAUAAUCAUCCUAAAUGAUAACUGACAACCAACCAAAUGACAUCAACCAUAGCAACUUUGUUUUCACACUAAAUCAAACUUUCUUGAGAACAAAUAAGUUUUUUUAUAAGACCUUUUGUAGUAUUUCUUGAGAAGAAUAAUAAUUUGAGAAGAAUAUAUUAUGAGCAAAUCCCAAAUGGUAAGCUCAAUACUUUCAUAAUCAGCUUUCUUUCAACAAUUAGAAAUUCAAAUUUUAUUACUUACUUCAAAUCGGAAAGCAAGUAGAUAUUUUUCCGAAAAUAAAAGGUAUGAUGCAUUAAAAGCAUCAACAGUAUGCAACCCGUAUGCGAAAAUAUUUACAUGUCAAUAAAAAAUUCAAUCAUAUACCCGAAGUUCUCACAAGAAUAAAGAGAAUCACAUUAAUCAAAAUAGCUAGGGCCUGAAAUCAAGUAUCCUUAAUACUAUCAAAAUACAACUUUGUACUCUUGAAAACUCUUCAAUUUCAAAAAAAAAAUCAUUCAUACACAAAUGAAUUAUCUUAGAGUGAACAGAAAUAACGAUAUAUUAUACUGAAAGCAGGCCCCACCUUAUCAAUCUCCUACCAUGUUUAUCAUUAGACCAUACAGCUUGUAAGGAAUUAUCCUGUUACAUGACCAGCAAGAGGAGUAUAAGCCCUUAAAUUACUUACAAAAUCAAAACCCAUUUAUAAAAAUAAAAAUAAAAGAAACCCAGACUCUAAACUCCAUCGAGAACUUGCCAUCAGAUCUGCAAGUGCGGUCUCAAAAGUGUACUCCUCUGGUAGCUCCAUUAGCAAAUCAGUAUCUGGUGUUAAAUCCCACAUGUUCUGUAAAACAAUCAAAUUUCACCACAUAUCUAAUAAUUGGUUGAUCAAGAACAUGAAACUUUUACAAUGAAGCAAAGCAAAUGCACCACUAAUGAUAAAUGUAGUAAGUAAAGCAACAUACAUGUUACCAUUCAGGACAGACUACUAACCUCAAAAGUAUCCAUAGUCUCACCAGACCCGUCCUAAUUGAAAAAUAGAACAAGAGAAAGUAAAGUUCAUUGAGCAUAAGUUGGAAAAAUGUAUUAAAGUUUAAUCUUAUAAGUAGGUUAGAAAAGUUGUUUUGGCUUCCCUAACUUUCCCAUAUUUUUACCCCACCCUUCAGCUAAACAUGACUACUAAUGCAAUCGGCACUCACAUGAAGCCGUAUAAUGUGACACUUCAAUGGCUUAAAAUUUUCAAAGUUAAUUCUUGUCCUCGUCUUCUUAUCAUUUGCAUCUUCCAGGAGCAACUUUUCACUGUACCAAUUAAUUGGUCUUCUCUUCUUCAUGAAUUGAUUUUGCCGCAAAGAUGCAUAAUACUCAUCUUUUAUCAACUUUAUAAAGUCCCAAAACUCCAUUCUAGGCUCAGGGUCACGCACUGCUAACCCUACACUGGUCCCAUUUGGUAACAGGAUUUUAAAACGGUAGACUCUGUCUGCAACUUCAUAUCCAGCCAUUUCCUCCAUUGGCCUCUUUUUAGGAGCUUGUUGAGACGCCAUUUUUUGAUUCCCCUCCAAGCAACUGAGGAAUCUGCAAAUAUAGAAGUAUAACAGUACAGAUAGUCAAGGUAUUUCAUCACAACCAAUAAAGAAACAAAGAAUACAUUACGAUUUAAAAGGACUUACACAAAGACACACACUGGGUUUACAACUUUGACAGAAAAUCAGGUUUUAAGCCACCGAUGAAAUGAUAAAGCAGAUAUAUACAUGUAUAGACACAACAUGCACACACGUGGUCCCUGAACCCUUCUUCCACCAAAAACAGGCAAUGCAGUGCAAAAAAAGAGACUAAAAGCUGAUAAACAUUAGCGCAGGGAAACUUAGUUUUAACACGUAUCAAUUUCCAUACCAGUCAAAGGAAUAAAUGAAAGCAAAAGCAAAAGCAAAAAAAAUGACGAAACUAUGUCACUCCCUCCUACCAAAAACAAGCAUUUCUAUGCAAAAACCAGAACGGAAUCUGAGUAACAAUAUCCCAUGUAUAAUCAUUCCGCACUAAUAAUCACUUCAUUUGACAAUCAAAGCUUAAAAAUCCAAACAAGCGAGACCUACAUCGCAUAUACAGAGAUAACACAUACGAACAAUUCUUCCAGCCAAACAAUAACAGCUAUUCCUAUGGAGAAACCAUAACGACAUCUGAAGACGGUACAACAUGUGAAUAUAAACACAAAUAAUCGGUUGAAACACCACCAAAACAAUAAAAAAAAAUGAAAAUGAAAUACGAAACAACAAUAUUUCUCUGGUUUCAUGAGAAAACCUUAUACUAUAUGUGCUCCCGUCCGAUGAUCAGCUGAAACCACAGAUAUUUAGGGAUUUCAGAUAGAACCAUAAGCAAUCUGUGGCUAUGGUUUUUGCUGGAAAGAAUCCGAACCGACUAACAAGGUGUAGAAAUGAGGUGAAGUACAGACUUCUGCAGCAAGUAAAGGCCCCGGAUGCUUGAAUGGCCAAAGUGCGAAGCGGCACGCUGCUCCAAACACCGGUACGAAUUUCAGUGAGAGUAUCACGAGUUCAGAGGAGAAAUCAGCGGAAAUGGAAGACGAAAGGGGGUCACUAUACAGAUAGUAACAUCAUUACAAAUGAUAGCGAAAAUAAUCAUGUGGGACCACUUGCUUCUGGAUAGAGACACGUGGAGAUUUGUUUCGGACGCCGGUCGGUUACUCGGGUUGUGCAGGAACUUGGGAAAGCUUAAAAUUAAAUUAAAAUAAUUUGUCCAAUUUAUUUUAUAUAUUUUAUAUAUUUUUUUAUUUAUAUUGACCCAUUUUAAUUUUUUCUAUCUACAUAUUGGUAGAAAUCUUGGAAAAUAUUUUUGUAAUACCGAAUUCAGAAAUUAGUUUGGGAUAAUUAUUAUUGCAUUUAUAAAAUCUAUAAAUAAUNNNNNNNNNNNNNNNNNNNNNNNNNNNNNNNNNNNNNNNNNNNNNNNNNNNNNNNNNNNNNNNNNNNNNNNNNNNNNNNNNNNNNNNNNNNNNNNNNNNNNNNNNNNNNNNNNNNNNNNNNNNNNNNNNNNNNNNNNNNNNNNNNNNNNNNNNNNNNNNNNNNNNNNNNNNNNNNNNNNNNNNNNNNNNNNNNNNNNNNNNNNNNNNNNNNNNNNNNNNNNNNNNNNNNNNNNNNNNNNNNNNNUUGCCUAUUUAUUUUUCCUAUACUGCUUAAAUUAUUUAUUGUUCUGUUGUGUGCUUUAAAUUAUUACUUUUAAUUAUUUUCUCAUUCAUUGAUUAACUAAUCGUUAUUUUUAUCUGUUGACUGAUUUGAGAAAAAGACCUGAUUUUGUUUCUUAAUUGUUAAUGUAUGAAAUUGUAUUGUUUACUUAAAUAUUGUUUGAUUGAUCUGUGAAUAUGAAAUGAAAUGUUGGUAUGCGAUUGAUAGGUGUUUGAUAAUGAGAAUCUAUAUAUGAAAGGCUUACUGUGUGACACUCCAAAACGGUUUCUACUAUAAAAUUAUACAUUAUUCAUUCUUCCACCUCAAAUAAGAUAUUUAUAAUUUUUCAACCAAAUCACACAUAUCCAUUAGUUCAACAAAUAAAUCAAUUUUCGUACAAUGAAUAAUUCUAUAAUCAAAAAAACUGUUCAACUAUCACCAUACACAUAGAAGUUCUAACAUUAUUCAAAUAUUGUAAGUGUACUACUAUGUCUCAUCAUAAUUGAAAACAUCUUGCUACUUAUUAUCGUUUAAGUAAACAAUAAAUGAUAAUAAGCUCUCCAUUUCUGGUUCCCGUCUCAAAGCAUUUGAAAUGAGAGUAAUGAGUAUGUAUAACCCAAUAAGAUGAAUUUUUGAAACUAAACUAAUGAAUGACAAUUAAAUGACCUCCCUCCUUACUAUCAUUUCCCUUAUUUCUAUCAUUUUAUUUUUCUUCCUUGAUAACUAUUAAAUGACGAUACUACUCCCUCCUAAUCCUGUAUAACCCCUUACUAUUAGCCUCUCAUUCUCCCGACCAUAUAAUGGACCCGCACUCUACCCCUUUUGUUUUAACCACAACACCUUACCAACUCGACACCAUUCUAGUAGUCCUUAAGCCACACCCAUACCCUCUUAAUCAUCUUUAUCCCUAUCAUACCUCUCAUCACGCACCGGCUCACUAAGACCACACAUGCACACUCUCGCUACAUCCCGUGGCCUUACUCCAACAGCAAACACAAUCCUUAUAUCGGCCAUUACAUGGCCCUAUGCACUAACGCACCACAAUAUCAAAUACACACCGCUAUUCCCACGGUAAUGACCACUGAAUGGCCCUACCGAACUCCACCAACAUCGGGCCACACGGCCUCCCACACACUUGACCAGGGGAAUGCCCAAUCNNNNNNNNNNNNNNNNNNNNNNNNNNNNNNNNNNNNNNNNNNNNNNNNNNNNNNNNNNNNNNNNNNNNNNNNNNNNNNNNNNNNNNNNNNNNNNNNNNNNNNNNNNNNNNNNNNNNNNNNNNNNNNNNNNNNNNNNNNNNNNNNNNNNNNNNNNNNNNNNNNNNNNNNNNNNNNNNNNNNNNNNNNNNNNNNNNNNNNNNNNNNNNNNNNNNNNNNNNNCACGGCCUCCCACACACUUGACCAGGGGAAUGCCCAAUCGACCACAGAGUGGCCAUACAUACAGUAUGUCACUACGCAUUAUAUCGACAUAUUCAUAUUUACAAACAUCGGCUAAAGGCCUUACACACACACAAGUCACGCACACGCACACGCAGGGUGCCACUAAUUUACACACCAGUAUACCAGAAUCCUCCAACAUUGGCCAAGAGACCUCCCACAUCUAAGUACCUAUACAUACACACACCAUAGAGUACCCAACCUACCCCCUAUAUCACGUAAACCUCACUCCACCUACAGCUUCACAUAUAAAGUCACGAACCACCAUCCCUGCACAAUAAAAGGAGUCACCCUCGGUAAGUAGCCUUACACACACACAACUAUCCCUACACUCGCCAUCGAUCACUGCCGCCUAUACUUAUACAUAUACAAUAAUGCAUCCCACUUUCACAGUGACCUUAUCUCUCGGUUACACACAACUCAUCAUCCACAGACUUUGUUCCCAUCCUCACGACAUCUCUCGUUCACUAAUCUCCCUCACACAACCGACUACCCAUAUGUACACUCCUCUCUAUCACUUACUCCCUCUCUUUCCUCAGGCCUCGACCCCUCUCACACUCCCUCAACAAACAUAGCGCCUCGACUUCGAUCUCCUUGACGAUAAGCAUCUCUAUUAACCUGUACACACAAUCUCACUAGAUUUGCCCUAAAUUAGUUUAAAAUUUUUAAAUUUCUCUUACCUCUUGCUUUCAUCCUCCUCUAUCUCCCAAAGCUAUCGCGACCUCACCUCAUUCUCGAACUUUCGAGUAGUUCUUCUUCCACUGUCGCCUCCGAUUACUGCCUCUUUCAUAAUCGUCUUCCUCUCUCACUCCUGCAUUAUCUGUUUUCCCCUUUAUUUUCUUUAUUCUCCUCCUCCCAUCUCUAUGUCCGACGCCCCCUUUUUAUACCUAUCCUAAACUCACAUCCCAGCCGUUGAUUCCACCCAUUCCAUCUUAACUGUCCAUCUCACUCUCUUUCGCCGAUCUAUGCUAUUAUAUACUAGGUACCCUGGGAAAGGGUGGACGGACCUGAUACAUAAGAAAAACUUUAUCGUGGAUAUUAUCUCAGCCGAACGGGGCUGAGAAGUUCUAUAUCGGAAGGGUUAGGAUAUAUGCUUCACCUUCAUACCAAACGAGGUAUUAAAACAAUGGUGUAUUUGGCGCCCAUUACUAGACAGGGUAUGAGGACGACCAAGUAAAUUGACAAAUCUAGAUAUUGGGUUCACGAGUAGGAGAAUAUCUCUAUGAACCCCCAGGAGUUCCAAUAAGCAGGUAAAAAAGAAGAAUGGCCGAUCUUGCUCACUUGAACAUGAAAUUAUAAAUAUUAUAUGGGUGUUUGUCUUAUAAGUUGAUUUCAAAAAACUCGUAAUGGUAAGUAUAAAAAUAUGUUAAAUAAAUUUACUUAAAGAGCUCAAUUAGUUGUUUUGUAAUUUUUACGAACAUUUGUUUUUCGUAUCAGUGAUUAGUGUGAUAUUCUUACUUGGUUAGUGUAACUCACUAUUCUAUUAAUCAUUUCAUAUCAAGAGAAUCAAGAUUCAGAUUCCAAUUAACAAAAAUGUUGUGAGUAGUUUACCUCCGGAUCAUUUCAAGAGCUAGUGGAGUUUAACCCGCUAUGAUAUUUAUUUAUUUGUUUUAAAUCAUUUAUUUGCUUCUUUUUGCGAGCCGCUGUAUAAUGGACAUUCUCGUAAUCCUAUUAGACAUUCUAAUUUACAACCUUAACUUUAUUGUUUGCUUCUGCAUUAAAAAUAUAAAUUUGUUUUCUUUAAGUUCCGGUCCUUUACAAUUUUACUAAUUUCAAUCAUCGUUCAAUAUAAUAAAAGCUUUGUCAUAGUCACAAAAUGUUUUUUACUUGUUUUUUUCUUAAUUCUAUUAUUAUAUUAUAAAUAAUAUUUUGUAGUUUUAUGUAAUUUUCUAAUACAUAAUCUUAAACUUGUAAUUAACUUCACUUUUUUACAAUAUAUUUUUCGAGUUUCGGAUUCUAUAAAUUUCGAUAUAAAAUUGAGAUACUUUUAUUAAUUAUUAUGUAUUAAUAAUUACUAUAGGAUUAUUAUCAUUCAUGACCAUAAUGCCAAAAAUAAUUCUUGAAUUAAUAUCGAUCAUUAUAAGUAUGUCACAAAAUAUCUAUCAUAUUAUUAUUAAAGAGUAUUGAGUUAUCACAAAAUCUAUAUUAUACUAAUGGGCUUAUCACUAAGCCACAAUACACUAACAAAGGCCAAUUUCCAUCAAGUUUUUCUUAGUACUCCACAUGAAAUUGAUGCCACCUUCAUGUGGGCCAUACCAAGAUAUAAUUUUUUUUUAAAAAAAUUACUAAAUUAUACAUAAAAAAAUUGAUAAUAAUAUUUUUUAUAAUUUUAUUUUAUUUUAAAAUUAAAAAAUAGUAAACAAUAUUUUAAUGAUUUAAAAAAAUAAUUUAAUUGAUUAAUUAAAUUAAUAGUAAUAAAAAAUAUGUCUAUUAUUAUUCUUAUUAUUAAUUUAUCAAUUAAAUUAAUCAUUGAUUUAAUUUGUUUUCUAAAACAUUCAAAUAUGAAUUAAACAUUUUAAUUUUUUUUUUUUUUACUUAAAAAAUAAAAGUAUGUAUAAAACACCAGUAACUAAAGUGUAAUGAUAAAAAUAUUAGAGAUUAAAUUAUAAUAAAUGUUAAAUUUUAAAAACUAAUUCAUUAAUUUAUCAUAAAAUAAAUAAAGUUUUAAAAAUUCAAUAGUAUUUUUUAUAAAAAUAAAUAAAUACAAAAAUAUUAAUGAUGGUUAGUUGGUGGAACACAAAUGUUUGCAUCAAACACUAGUGAGAUGUGAAGAAAUGGUUUUAUGUCUCAUGAUUAAUUUGGUUAAUGUUGGUUGGGAUCUCUUAAUUUUAGGUGGUUGAUUGACCAUGUAAUGACAAUAUUGCUUAUACUCCACAUUAAUAAAAAAUAAUAAAUGAAUGAAUAUGUAUAAAUCUUGAUUAUAUACAUACGAUGGUCGAGUUAAUGAUUGACAUAAAUAAUGAUAAGAAAAAUAUCACACAUGUUUUAAAAAUUUAAUUUAUGGGUUUUAUUUUUUUUAAAUAUAUAUAAUUCAAUUAUAAUUUAUAAUCGAAACAUAAAUUGUUCUGAGUCGUUAAGUUAAUACCAACUUAUACGUAGACUCGUUUUUUAAUAUUAUUUUCUUUCUAUAUUAUAAUUUAUACUAAAAAAAUUAUAUAUAAAUAAAAUAAAAAUACUUCAAUCCGUAUUGUUAAUUCAUAUAAUCUCAUAAUCAAAUAAGUUUUUAACUUGAUUGUCCCUUCUGGAAUUAUAUAAAACAUACAUGAAGAUAAGAAUAACCCCAUUUAGAACCCAAAUCAAAAUAAGUAUAUCUCUGUGUGCAACAUCAAAAUCAGGUCCCUAAAAAGGCCAUGCACACACAUAUAUAUAUGUGUGUGUGUGUGUGUGUGUAUAUAUAUAGAUGGUGGUCCUUUUGAAACUCUGCAAUCUGAUUCAUGGGCAUCAUUGAGUUAGGUCCCCUCUUUAUAAAGAAAACUUUGACAGUAAAAUAAAUUACUUUGAAAGAUGCUCCUCACCAAACAUGUACAAGUUUUCUCUUUGAUAAAAAAGACAUGCCUCCUUUCCUGUAUGUAUAGAAAUAUUAGUUUCCUUAUAUAUAAUCACUAAGUGUUAUUAGGGUUUCACCCAAUAUCGAUAUUGGCACGAUGAUAUUCUCGUUUAAAAAAAAAAAACAAUCGUAGUACUAUAAUUUUUUUUUUAAAUCUCGUUUCUUAUUGUAAAUUUUUAUAAGAUAUGUGAUGUGAUAUCUUAAUUUUAUAUUAAACGUUGAGUUAUCAAUGUCAAAAUAAGAAUGUUACGUCGUAUUUGUUACAUUGAAAAUAUUAUAUCGUAUGAAUUAUAUAUUUUAUACAUCAUAUUAUAUUAAUAUUAACAAACAUUUAUUAAGAAAUUGAUUGUCUCUCUCUCUUUUCAUAUAUAAGAGAUCGANNNNNNNAUUAGAUAAAUUAUUAAUUAAUAUUUAAAAUUAAUUAUUUUUUAUAAUUAAAUGUUUAAUUAUUUUUAAAAUAAUUAAAUUAUGUUAGAAUGCUUUAAAAAUAAUUUAAAAAAUAAUAUUAACUAAUUAAUCAAGUUAAUGUAUUAAGAGAUUAAUAGUGAUGUUAGGUCUAUUUGUUAUUGUUAUAAUUUAUUAAUUUAAUUAAUUAAUUAAAAUUAUUUUUUGAAUUAAAAUUAUUUAAAUAUAGUUUAAUUAUUUUAGUUUUUUAUUUUUAUUUUUACAGGAAAUAAAUAUUUUUAAUUUAAAUUUACGAUAUAAAAAAAUAAAAAUAAAAAUAAAAAUAAAAAGGGUGCGCGAUGGGCAAGUUGCGGGUGGUGGAUGGAUUUCUGGUGAUUACCUCAAGAAGCCGUUACCACCUUCUACACAGGCCGUGAUAUCUAGGUUCGGAAGGUGACGUGUCGAGAUUUCAUUGGUCUGUGAUCAACAGUAUCCUACGCCACGUCGUUCUCUCUCCCGUGAAUCUGAUAAAUUCCAACGGCGAUUACGCGGGUAAGCAGUUACUACUCUCACGCACCCACCUCCUUCCUCCUUCUUCCUUCCCUCUCUCUCUCUCUCUGAAAGUCUCUGCACUGUAACCUUCUUCACAAGAACAAAAAAGGCCAGAAGAAGAUUAGAAAACUCAGGAAUUGAUACGUAUAAUGUAAAAAUGCCAGAGAUCAUAUGUAGAAGAUGCUUAAGAAGCGAAACCAAGUGAUCGCACAAUCUCGACUCGAUCACAUCGCAGGUUUUUGUUUUCAAUUUUUUCAGUCAUUUCCCUUUGUUUUCCUCCCUUUUCCACUUCGAUGAUCUUCCUUACUUGUUCUCUGCUUCAUUUUUUGCGUGGUUUCUAUUAGUUCUAACUGUUCGAAAUGAAAACCAACUCUACAUUUACCGAUAUAUUUUUGAUAUAUUUGAAAAACUGAAAAUGUAAAAAUGAAACCUACAACUUUCAUUUUCUUCUUCACCGGAUAAAAUAUAUUUGUUAUCAUUAUUAUUUUUUUUCGAAGAGGUUAUUGUUAUUAUUUUUUCUCUGCUGUGUUGUGGUGAUUUCUGAGUGUUUACUGUCUAAUGUGUUGAUGUAUGGUUGUUUUGAUUGCUAUGAAGGCCGAUACCCCGGAGAUGGGGAAGAAAGGGAGCGGUUGGUUUUGGUCUGUGAAGAAAGUGUUCAAAUCAUCUGCUAAGGAAUUGCCGGAGAAAAAGGUCAUUCCCAUAAAUUUCUUAAAAUUUUUAAUUGCUUUGCUAAUAAGCAAUUAAUGACUUGUUGGUAGAUUUAUUGACUUUUUAGGUCUUUUAAUUAAAAUUUCAUUUUCAUCUACUUUUGAGUUAUUACCAGACAAUACUAAUCUUAUUAAUUAAAAAGGAAAAAUUAAUGACUUGUAAAAUUGGAUUUGGGUAGUUCUUAUAUAUGAUGGUUUAGGUGAGCAAUUUUCCGCAUCUGCAUGUGAUUGUAAAUAGUAACUAAACACUAAUUCACUGAGUCAACUUUUGAGAUUCUCUUUAAUUUCUUAGAGAGAUUAGGACUAUUUAGAAUUAUCAGAGAUUAUUAUCAGUGNNNNNNNNNNNNNNNNNNNNNNNNNNNNNNNNNNNNNNNNNNNNNNNNNNNNNNNNNNNNNNNNNNNNNNNNNNNNNNNNNNNNNNNNNNNNNNNNNNNNNNNNNNNNNNNNNNNNNNNNNNNNNNNNNNNNNNNNNNNNNNNNNNNNNNNNNNNNNNNNNNNNNNNNNNNNNNNNNNNNNNNNNNNNNNNNNNNNNNNNNNNNNNNNNNNNNNNNNNNNNNNNNNNNNNNNNNNNNNNNNNNNNNNNNNNNNNNNNNNNNNNNNNNNNNNNNNNNNNNNNNNNNNNNNNNNNNNNNNNNNNNNNNNNNNNNNNNNNNNNNNNNNNNNNNNNNNNNNNNNNNNNNNNNNNNNNNNNNNNNNNNNNNNNNNNNNNNNNNNNNNNNNNNNNNNNNNNNNNNNNNNNNNUCACAUCAUUAAUUGCAAAAGAAAUCAAAUGUACAUACCGUAGGCUAAUUUCUCCACUUCCUUUUUGGAUUUAAAAGGGUAGUAAUUUAUAAAUUAAAUACCCAAAUCGAUCUUAUGGGUUUCAUUUAUGAAGCAGUGGAUGAUUAGUUUAGAUGGUGAAACCAACAAUGAAGACGACCUACCACUGCAGCCCUGUAUAAGGAUUAGGGCCAUGAAUGCAUAACGGAGAUGCUGGUCCCCCUCUCUAUAUGAAGAUGACUAAGAAAUAAUAAUGCUUGGGGAGACCUCUUGAGAUAUUAUUAUCAUUACACCUAAGCUUUCACAUCAUCCUUGUUGACCGUCAUGUGCUUGACAUGUUCGAUCCGCUUCAUGCCAAAACAGAGAGAGCCAACUCUUGAGCUUGAAUUUCUUUUUUCCAAAAUUUGCUGGCUUGUCAAAAGAAAAAAAUUGUUGCUUUUUUCCCUCUUACUGAAACUACAGUUAUCUUCUUGUGGUGAUUUUUGAGCCGUCAUUAGUGUAAUAAAACAUGCAUUAUAUGUCUUUGAAAGGGAGACUUUUAUAUUUGACUGUGCAGAGAUUAGUUUAAUAUAAUGAAAGUAUGAUAAUUUGCGGAGAGACAAUCCAGAGAUUAGUUCAAUGAAACAUGCAUCACAUGUGCUAGAAAGGGUUUAGUUUUAUAUAUAACAUGCAGAGAGACAAUGCAGAGAUUAGUCUAACGGAAACUGCACUACACGUGUUUAAAACUUAAAGGCUUAGUUCAACGUAUGAUUUGCAGAAAGACAAUGCAGAGAGAUGGCAGCAAGAAGCCCCUGAAGUUGUGUCAUUUGAGCAUUUUCCUGCCGAGAGUUCUCCAGAAAUCACAAAUGAUGAGAGUUUUGCAUCGACCCCCGUGACUGAAGACAGAAACCACGCUAUAGCAGUUGCCAUGGCAACUGCUGCCGCUGCAGAAGCUGCAGUUGCAGCAGCUCAAGCUGCAGCCAAAGUUGUCCGAUUGGCAGGCUAUGGGCGGCAGACAAAGGAGGAAGCUGCUGCAAUUCUCAUACAGUCAUAUUACAGAGGCUAUCUAGUAACUAUAAUACCUUGCUCUUUUCUUCUGCAUCCUUGAGUAGUUCUUAAUCUCUGUAAUCAUAGAAAACCAAACGCAAGUUUACCCACUUUAGUGAAAUUUGUGUUGUAUGAUUGGUUUGUGCUCAGGCUAGGCGAGCUUUGCGUGCUUUGAAGGGAUUGGUGAGGCUCCAAGCACUGGUAAGAGGACAUAACGUGCGAAAGCAAGCACAAAUGACAAUGCGGUGCAUGCAAGCACUAGUCCGCGUGCAGGCUAGAGUAAGAGCACGUAGGCUUCAGUUGGCUCAUGAGAAAAUCAUCAAGAAAGUCGAGGAAGGGGAAGAGAAAGAACAAAGAGGAAUAAGGGAAGAAGGAUUGCAGAAACCGAAGGGUGGUUCUCCGUUGAUGAAAUAUGAAGGUUGGGAUGGUAGGCAUCAAAGCUCAGACAAAAUCCAGGAAAAUGCUUCAAGGAAACGUGAUGCUGUCAUGAAAAGAGAGAGGGCUCUUGCUUAUGCUUACAGCUACCAGGUUGGUCAAGCUUUUUUCCUUUGCAUUUGAUUAUACUAAUUAAGCACUUUUAACCCCUUAGCUUUUAAAUUUUGCUUUUGAUUGGAAACAAAGAGCUAAAUGAACUGGCAAGAGAUUGUAUUAUAAUCAAUACAGUAAGAUCGGUUUUUUCUUAAAUCUUUUACUGGUAUAAGCUGUUGAUUCCCAUACGUAUAUAAGCAUUACCUUUACAAUUGCAAUGCAGCAGCAACAACAGCAACCUCCACAACAUCAGCAAGUAAUGCAGCCAAGCCCAGAUGGCAAAGAGAUGACAUUCUACAACGAGCAUGAAAAGGCUCAAUGGGGCUGGAACUGGCUCGAGCGUUGGAUGUCAACACAGCCAUACCAUGCCCGUCACAUGAGCCCACAAGGCGGCUCUUACAUGACACUUGCCACCACUACUUCCACCACUGACGACAUGUCCGAGAAGACUGUUGAGAUGGACAUGAUCACCCCACAAGGCUUGGGCAAUGGCAAUACAAACAUGGACCUCUUCAGCCGUCAAAACAUGGACUCAGACACGUUCCCAAGUCGCCAACAACCACAACUGAUCAAUGUUCCCAGCUACAUGGCUCCAACCAAAUCUGCAAAAGCCAAGGUCCGAUCACAUGGUUCUGUCAAGCAACGUGGGUCUCAGAUUCCCCAGUGGAGUCUAUCAACAAAGAGAGGAUCAGUGGUCGGGUCUGGUUGUGACUCAUCCAGUUCUGGUGGUGGGUCGGCAGCUUACCAAGCUCCAAGAAGCCCGAAUCCAAAAGGCAAUGGGAUGCAAUUACCUUCUAGACGGGUUCCAGGUUGCAGCCCGGAUUAUAAUNNNNNNNNNNNNNNNNUAUGAUGCUGGUGUUUUAUAAUAGACUCAUUUGUCCAUACACAAGAAAACAAAAUAGGUAUAGUUUAAUAUUAACCCAUAUCUAUAUAUGCAACAAUGCUAUGAGAAAAUGUAAUAAUUUCUAAAAUAUAUAUAUUUAAUACAAAAUAAAAACUCUUAGCAUUAAAUAAAUAUGCUCAUAAUUUUAUUUUCAAUGGGAUGAGAAAGCUACAAGAAAAAUGAAGAUUAAUUUUAAUUUUUUUAAUGAAUAAAAAAUUACUUUUUCAUAUCAUCCGAGCAUUAUUUUGUUUCUAUUUAUUUUAUUUAUUUUUUGAGUGAAUUUUAUUAAAAUUAAAUUAGCAUGUUUUUAAUAAAUAAAGGCAAUUCGUUUAUUAAUUUAUAAUAUUUUCGUUUAAAAAUAAAUAAAAAUAUGAAACUAUAAACAAAAUAUUUUUGAAAAUUUAAUUUUUAUACGGGUGGCCCGUGCUUUGACUUUAACAGAAAGAGUCAAAAUUUGCGAUAUCCGAAAUAACGGUUUCAUCUUCGGUGGGUAAAGAUUAAUACGGUGCCGUUUAACAGUCGAACGACUACCACGUGGCGGAACUUACUGGAUGUCUCCACGUGGCACCAUCUUACAAUCGUCAGUCGAACCAUUUUGUUCCACCAGGAUUUUGUUUUUUUUUUUUUUUUUUUCGAUUUUCGCGCUUUUUCUGGAUCUCACAAGCAGAAAAGCUAUUUAUCGUCUCCCUUUUUCUGUAACAAUUCACAGGUAUAGUAUUAGUACCUUCUUUCGAGAUUUCCUUCGUUCUUUUUUUCAACUCCUAUUCACGAUUCCUUUCGUACUAGACUGGACUUACGUCUCCUCUUCUUCUUCUUCGUUAUUUUUUUCUAAUUGACAUCCUCUCUGAACUCUCUAAUGGAGUCUCUGCAAAUCAACUUUGUAAUUCCAUGCAAAUCGAAUAUGUGUUCUUCACAAUCAUAUCGCGAUUAUAAUGUCCGGCGAGUGAGUUUUGCUCGUAGAAGAAACAGAAAAGAAAGGUGUCUGCGGGUUAGAAGUGGACCAGUUAAAAGUAGCAGUGAAAGUGGGAUUGAUAAUCCAAAAGAUGGAUUCAAUAUCGUCGAAAAUAAGGAUGAAGAAAAGAGUCUUUUACUGGGUGAAGAGAGGGAUGGUUCUGGUUCUGUUAUCGGGUUUCACUUGAUUCCCCAACUUGGUACGUGCUCGCGGAAAUCAAUCACUUUUUUUAAUUUAAAAAUUAUUAAUUAAUGUUAAUGAUUCUUUUUUUGUCUGUAAUAUAUGGAAUAGAAGAGAUCCAAUGCAGUUUGGUGUUUAAGGAUGAUCAUCAUAAAUUUUUUAUUUGUUAAAACUGACGAUUAUUUAAUUUUAGUAUGAGACCUUCCUUAAUAGUUUCCCCUUCAUUUCGUGCGGAAUAUAAUUGGUUUAAGAUCAACUGGGAUUGUUUUAUAUUAAAUCAUUGUUCCUGUAUGAAAUUAGCUUCAUACUUUAUUUAGUUUACAUAAACUUUGGGAUCAUAAAGCAGGAUAACGCCAAUGAGUUCCUUUACUAAUUUGAUUGAUAAUGUAUCUAAAAUAAAUAACAAACUGGGUAAUUAGAGAUCAGUGCAAUUUAUUAUUUAUCUUGGUCCGUCAUCUGCCAGCCCCAAGCGGAAUCAUUUUUUAAUCUGAAUACAAAUGAAAGGUAGCUGGAAUUAUAGAGGAAGCUGAAGCACUGAUAGCGUAUAAGAUAAUAAGUUGUAACUAAUUCUUCGAUCCAGGUUACUAUUCCUCUUUUAUCUUAUCAAGCUUGGGUUAUAUGUCAUCUUAAAGGUUCUCUUUAGUAUUUUCUAACUUAUAAUGAUGAAAAAUCUGUAAGAACUUUUUAUUUCUUCAAUCUCUUCUUUACUAUAUAUUGUUCUGGAAUAUUGCUUUUUAUUUUCAAUUGCUAUGCAUGUUUUUGUAUAUGACUAUAUAAUGAAUAAAGAAAAUAAAAUUUCAAGAAAAUGUUUUUAUGUACUAAAACGAAGGCUUGAUAUUUCACUUGUUUGUGAGAGUGUGAGAGUUUUACUCUGUUUAGUUUAAUUCUCUUUUGGCACUAAGAUUUUUAGUAGAAUUGAUCGCUCAAUUUUGUUAUUUCACAAUAAUAAUUAUUCUAUUUCAGUUAGCAAAUAUCUUUUAUGAGCUUAGCAUCUCGGUUCUUAAUUAAUUUUGACGACCAGGACCUAUGCAGCAUCUAAUUGUUCUUUCUUUCUCUUAGAGCUGACUGCUGCUCUGUAAACUUUGAACUACAGCUGAUCAUGAGGUCAUUGGCUCUAAAGAAGAUGAAACCAUUCACGAGGAAGAGAAAACUGAGGAUGUUGAAGGAGAAGAGAAAGCUAAAACCAGAGUAACCUACAAUAUUGUUUUUGUCACUUCUGAGGCAGCACCUUAUUCAAAGACAGGUGGACUAGGAGAUGUUUGUGGUUCUUUGCCUAUAGCACUUGCUGCUCGUGGACAUCGUGUGAUGGUCAUCUCUCCCAGAUACCAAAAUGGUACUAUUGCAGACGAAAAGUUUUCUGGUGCUUCAGAUCUGGAUUCUCACAUCAAGAUAUAUUGCUUCGGAGGGGUGCAAGAAGUUGCCUUUUUCCACGAAUAUAGAGAAGGUGUUGAUUGGGUGAGACUAUCUGCAUGCUCGACAGUUAAAUAUAUUUUCUCUACGUGAUUGUAUUCUGAUUGAAGUACCUUUAAGCAUAAUUUUUUAUCUAUGUCAUAGAUCAUUCAGCUCUUAGCAGCAUUGCAAAACUAGGAGAAGUUUUUGAUGGGACUCUCCUCUCUCUAUUUUAGGUGUUUGUGGACCAUGCUUCAUACCAUAGACCUGGAAAUCCAUAUGGUGACAGUUAUGGUGCUUUUGGUGAUAAUCAGGUAACUUGAUGAUUUGUUCAGAACCUUAAUUAACAGAGGGAUAGGAUUUUGUUUCAGAAGCAAUGACAAACCUCAUCCUUUUCAUUUUUCCAAUUUCUUUUUACAGUUUCGAUUCGCUUUACUUUGCCAUGCAGCAUGUGAAGCUCCACUGGUGCUUCCACUUGGAGGCUUCACCUAUGGAGAGAAAUGUCUGUUUCUAGUUAAUGACUGGCAUGCCAGCCUUGUACCAGUGUAAAUCCUUUGCCUGUUAUGACCACUUUCAUUUGUCUGUUUCUCUUCCUGGCAUAGUUCUUAUACAUACACUGUAAUGUGGUUCAGGCUUUUGGCUGCAAAAUAUCGUCCACAUGGAGUUUAUAAGGAUGCCAGAUGUAUUCUUGUAAUCCAUAACCUGGCUCAUCAGGUAGACGUUUUCUUCUCACCGAUUCCUUUUAUUCUCGCUAUUACCUUUUAUUUUGAUUUUGAUGGACGUGCGGUACACCAAUAAAUAUCCAUAUAAAUAAGUGAUAGACAAGGGGAUUAUUAAUUGAAAAACUAUGAGAUUAUGCAUAAGCAAUGCUGAUAUUUAUUGACUGUUACAUGUCAGGGAGUGGAACCUGCAGCAACUUACAAGAAUUUGGGACUUCCGUCGGAGUGGUAUGGAGCAUUAGAAUGGGUUUUCCCUACAUGGGCAAGAACACAUGCUCUUGACACUGGUGAAGCUGUGAAUAUCCUGAAGGGUGCAAUCGUGACAGCCGACCGAAUAGUUGCCGUGAGCAAGGUCAUUAACGUUGCAUAGAAUUUUCUUCUUUUGUUGUGUUUCUGGUUGGGUAAUUCACUUUUAUUUAUACAAUUUUCCACAGUACAAGUGCGUUGUUUGUAGUAUUAGUUACCACUUCUAUCUAAUUUUUUUAGAAAAUUAAUUACUACUUUGUCACUGUUCUCUUUCAAUUGCAGGGCUAUGCAUGGGAAAUAACCACCCCAGAGGGUGGAUAUGGUUUACAUGAGCUAGUGACCAGUCGCAAGAGUGUUCUUAAUGGUAUGCUUUCUGAGUUUAUGAAUUGCUUAGUUUUCCAGUGAAUUUUAGUCUUUCAAGAAGAAAAUGGAUACGUAUGUUUUGAUUCUUGAACCCUCCCAACUCACAUAUCUAAUUAUAAUAUUAGGAAUUAUAAACGGCAUUGAUACUGUUGAAUGGGACCCUUCCAAGGAUGAGCAUAUCGCCUCCUGUUACUCCAGCAACGAUUUGUCCGGGAAGGUGCACAAAUCUUUAAUAUGGAAAGCCCUUUUUCUUGAGACUUCUUUUUUCUUACAUUCUUACCCUGUAACUUUGAAAAUGCAGGUCGAGUGCAAGAUUGCUUUACAGGAGGAAUUGGGUCUUCCCCUUAGGCCUGAAUGUCCAAUGGUAAGAUGUUACUUUUUGUUUCUGCAAUGCUUGGUAGCUAAGAUCUGUCUUUUCUCAAACUUUUUAUAUGAUUGGAUUAUGCAGAUUGGUUUCAUCGGGAGACUGGACUACCAGAAAGGCAUUGAUGUGAUUCGAGCAGCAACUCCAGAACUUAUGGAAGAUGAUGUUCAAUUUGUAAGUGCAUUUUUAUAUAUUUCAUUACCACUUCAUUACCUUAGUCAAGUCCCAUUUCAAUAAGUCUACUGAAGCUUCCCCGUUAGGGAGCUUUAUCCAUGCAUAAGAAUUCUUCACAUUUAUUCCAAAUCGUAAAGCUUUAUUUGUUUUAAAUUUCAAUGUGUGAGAAUCCAGGUAAAAUGUACAAACCUGAUUAUGUUUUUGUUUAAGGUUAAAGAAACGAAGUUUUAUGUAGAAAAUAUUUGAUAAAUCUCAAGGAUAAAUUAGCAGUUGGUAAUGAGCAGAAGCUUGGUAUGCAUGUGCACAUGUGCCAUUCUGCAAUUUCAAGGAACUUAACUGGUGUCAUGCAGCCCUUAUAUGUUAGUUAUGGUUUCAGGUUACACUUAAUUGUUCUUUUCUGUCAAGGAAACUAAACUCCCUGAUCUUAGGUUAUGCUUGGGUCUGGAGACCCGCAAUUUGAGGACUGGAUGAGAACCAUGGAGGCUACCUACAAGAACAAAUUUCGGGGUUGGGUUGGAUUCAAUGUUCCAAUUUCUCACAGAAUUACUGCAGGGUAUUUGAAACUUGUGAUUUACAGUUAAUAUGUCAUUACUCAUCAGAAAAUUCAUCGCUUACUGAAAUUCUGAAAUGAUCAGCUGUGAUAUACUGCUGAUGCCCUCAAGAUUUGAGCCCUGUGGGCUAAAUCAACUGUAUGCAAUGAGAUAUGCAACUUUACCAGUAGUUCAUGCAACUGGAGGACUUAGAGUAAGUUUAACAGUUAUUAGUAAGUUACCGUUUGAUUCUUUAUUUUUUUUGUUUAUCUAGUCCAACUGUUUCAAUACUCUGCAUUGCAGGAUACCGUUGAGACAUUCAAUCCCUAUGCUCAUGAGGGCAGUGGUGAAGGUACAGGGUAUGUAGUUCAUCCCCUAUCCUUUUUACUGGAUGAUUGUUUUUUGGAAAAUGACUUACAAGGUCGAAAGCUCAGGUUUAAGAUGAUUCCUUUCACUUUUCAAUAUUUAGUUGGAAAUUCCAAAUCAAGCUCAAGAAGAACAAACUAUCUUAGUUAUACUCUGUUUAUACUUCAAGAGAAAUGCAAUGUAACAUUGUUUGCAAGUUGUGUGAAUUCAGUAAAAAAACCAGUAUAAUUUUCUGAUAUUUAUUCUAAAUAAGCAAAAUGCAGUUGUGCUUUACUUCCAACAAGUCUUUCUCUUAGGUAGCAAAUUAUAUUAUGAACUUAGUUCUGUUGCAGAGAUGAUUUUUUCUAUCAUGUGAAUCUUGAAAUGCAGUAUAUCUUUGUUAUAACAAUGUUGUGGAAUGUAUUGGCAGGUGGACUUUUUCUCCGCUGACAAAAGAAAGUAUGUUGGCGGUAAGUUCUUUAUGCCUACACUCUUUGCAGUCGUUCUAUUUAGUUUUUCAUUUCCUGUUAUGUCUGUUAGAGUGUAAAUACUUGAUAAAAUUAUUUUCUAUUAGUUUAAAUUUUUAAGAUAUUGCAUUCUCAUUUUAAUGAAUUUGUGCAUAAGAAAGCGUGUUAAAAUUAAAAAAUUGAUUGACUCAGUUUUUUCAAAAAAUCAGUAUAGAUCAAUUACUUACCAGUGCUUGGUUUCCCUGAACUCAUGAUAAAAGGAACCGAUCAAUCAUCGGCUUGAACGGUUGAUUCUGUUCCUGAACUCAUUAUCAAAGGAGCAAGUCUUGUUAUAUGAAAGUCGAACAAUGGAGUAGAUUCUAUGCUUUUUUAAGUUCAGAGGUUUUUCAAGUUUUACUAAUGAUUUGACUGCAAAGAUAAGGAUGUUAAGCAGUAGUUAUCAGUAUACCUAGAUAAUGGUGUUCCCUACUGACAGGAACUUACAGGUGAAAUUUUCAGUUUUCUUUUUCUUAUUCUUAGAUCUAUUUUCUGGUAAAACAGGCUACUUGUGCUGUAAGCAAGGGGAAAUUCUAUGUUGCCCCAGAGAUUCAGGACUCCUUGUUUUUUUUCUAGUAUUUCAGUGUAAUCUCAUAACUUGGUGUAAUAUUAGCCUAACAAUAUGUAAAUUAUCUAAUUGCUAUAAAAUAUUAAGUGAUCUCGAUAGAAAAUAACUCCAAGACAGACUGCUUCUUGAAACACCAAUAGUCCCAGAUAUCGAGUAUCCGAAUUCCUAAAUGUGAGAGAGUGAUUUUUUUGACAGGCACUAAGAGUUGCUAUUAACACUUACAAAGAACACAAAUCAUCUUGGGAAGGAUUGAUGAAGAGAGGAAUGCAGAGAGACUUCACUUGGGGAAAAUGCUGCGGCUCAAUAUGAGCAGGUUUUCGAGUGGGCGUGCAUCGAUCCUCCUUACGUCACCUGAGUAAGAAGGAGAGAAACAAGUAUGAAGGAGAGGGGAAAAGAAGAGAGGAACCUCCAUUUUUCAGGAUGAGGUAAACAGUUUCUCUUAUCCGGCUUAAAAAACUGUACUGUUUAGCUUUUCUUGGUUGAGCUGCUGUAGUUUUAGAUUGCGGAUAUACUCGAUUGAUUGAUUCAAAAUUUUCUAAAAGAACUUGAAUUUAUUGUAAUAUAAUCUCUUCUCUAAAAAAAAUUAGACAAUGGUAUAUUAUAUAUAUAUGAUAUAUGUUCAUAUGAACACUCAGUAUAAAUAAAAAU